RNAcentral lists this long non-coding RNA (59704 nucleotides) under Vitis vinifera (wine grape). RNAcentral's name for it is "long non-coding RNA (VVIN_LNC001392)". The record is from RNAcentral. Lineage: Eukaryota; Viridiplantae; Streptophyta; Magnoliopsida; Vitales; Vitaceae.
GAGGGUGACCAGGGUUGUGACCAUAAUGUGGUGGCUUCUCUCCCUUAGGUGGUUUGCCAACUGGGGUUGGUGGCUUGUAUGAGUCUUCAGCAUUCUCAGCAGGAGGGUGACCAGGGUUGUGACCAUAAUGUGGUGGCUUCUCUCCCUUAGGUGGUUUGCCAACUGGGGUUGGUGGCUUGUGUUCUGGGAGUGGCUUCUCCCCCUUGGGAGGUUUUUCCAAUGGGGUUGGUUUGUGUUCAGGAGGUGGCUUCUCCACUGGAGGCUUGUGUUCAGGAGGUGGCUUCUCCACCGGAGGCUUGUGUUCAGGUGGUGGCUUCUCCACCGGAGGCUUAUGCUCUGGUGGUGGCUUCUCGAAUGGGGGAUGCUUAGGAUAAUCAGCAAGUGAGGGGGCGGUGAGAACCACCAGGCCAAGCAACACCACUAGCAAAUAUGUAGGAGACAUCUUUGGGUUUGGGCUCAGAUGGUGCAAAACUAGGAGAAUUGGCUAGCCUUUUAUAGCGGAUCGUACCCAAUAAUGAAAUGACACGUGUCAUUAUGACCCAUGUGUAAUGGGGUCGAUUUGGGUCCUACAGUGUUGAAAACUUCGACAUCCACUUUUGGCCUUUUGCUUUCUCUACAGCCGCCUUGCUUUUUCCCUCUUUCCUUUUGUUUUCCUCCUGCCCCAUUCUAUCAACUAAACACAAUUAUGUAGUUGUUUAAUUCUUAAAUGAGAUAUUAUCCGUCAAUCGUAUUAUAUUUUAUCAAGAGAGAACGGAGUGCAAUGUGGCUGUAAUUUUAUCGUUUAGUUUUAUCUCUUGGACCACUGCAUUUUUGUUAAGAGGUGCAAUAAUACACGUCUUUAUCUGCCAUUCAAUAUUUACAGUAAAGAGAGGGCACAAAACUCUUCACUUCGCACCAUAAUUAUUUUGUUUUCUGGACACCCCGGGGCCCUUUGGUUGGUUUGGGGGUCAGAAAGUGAACAUCAUAGGGGGUUUUUCCCUUAUGUGCAUUUGUAUCUGAUGGCUUUAACUCGCCUUGUUACUACAAAGAAACUGUCACAGAUAGGAACUUAUUCCAGGCUGAGUAUCUCCUCAUAGACCCUAUAAAAGAAGACAAGUCAUAAUGAACAUCUAACCUUUGUUCAAUUUGAUUCAAUGCCCCCAUUGUGUCCAUCUCACAAAUCUGAAUUAUUAUAUCCAUUGAAUACAUAAAUUAAUGAAGAAAAUAUGAAACCCAAGAUACAUCUCUGCACAACCUCAACCCUGGUUGCUAUGUUUCCCUUCUAUUCACAUGAUUUGAUGCUAAUUGCCAAACUUGCAACAAGCCCUGAGUUUGACACCUAGUAUCGAUGGGCGAAUUUAAAGUCUCCUCCAAACAUAUAUUCCACAGCUUGAAGCUCACAGAAGAUGUUACAGGCAGGGAAAAACCUUCAGAGUUCGCUACCAAAGAUAAUUAUUAAGGAGAUAUCACAAAGAGAAUUCCAAGGGGUCUGAAUCAAAGACAAAUUGGUCGUUCGUGGGGGUUCUUACUUUCUUUUGGGUAUAACUCACUGAGGGCACUGUCUUUGUUAUUUGCAUUUCACAUUUAGAGUUCUGUUCUGGAAACAUAUAAAAGGAGCAUCAUUUUGUUCUUGGGUAACCCAUAGUCGUGAGUGGGUCCAUUUGCAUGCUACUUAGUUGAAAAGUUGGACCAUUUGCUCCGACGCCUACCUCCCGGAUUCCAUGCUCGGAUAAAACAAGAAUAAAAAAAAUAUUUAUAAUUUACAAAUGGGGGAAAGAAAAAAAUGUCAACAACAAACCAGGAAAAAAGAGUAGUAAAAUUCAUGUCACAUGCUAGUGAGAGAAGGGGUUGUUACACUCACUCGAAGUUCUUUCCAAAAUAUCGCAUGGUAUUUUAUUUUAUGUGUCAGCGCAGUUGUGAAUGGAACGUGCAAAAGUCCAAAUUGGCGUUUUUCCUUUUCCCGUGUAGGAUGGCGACCUUUAAUAAAUAUUUAAAACAAAAAACGAAAAAAAGGAGGGAAAAGGGAUCAGAAAAGAUAAAACAAUGUGUACAAGAGCUCAAUUAGUUUGCAAAUUACUGUUUGGAUUUUGAUAGUAUUUUAUUUGUCCAUCUAUAUUUGAUGGAAAAGAGAAUUUAAGAUAUUUCUGAAACAAAAGCAUUAGUGUAAAACUAAAUUAAGGUAUAAUUAAGUUAGUUCAAUGCAUUAAUUUAAGAAACUUGAUCUAUCCAAAGUACAAAAUUAGAUGAAAUCCAUUUCAAUGGUUAAAAUGAUCAAAAUCAAACUUUUUCUAAGUAUUUUUUAAAAGCAUCAAUAUUAAAAGACAAUUUUAUAUUUAGUCGGAGUUUGGACAAAACCAAAAAGCACACAAAAUCCAAGCGACCAUCUCUAGCUUGGAUAGUCACUUGAUCCCACCUAGAGAUGUGCAUGAGUAAAAGGAUUUGAAAAUGGAAAUUGACUAAAUAUUUAGUUGAUCAAUUAAAUUUGCAAUGUCAUAUGCAAUCCUAAUAGCUAGUCAUCUAAUCAAUUAGGUAGUCAAUCAAGUGUUUGUAAUGACUAUUUUGUACAAAAAACCACAUGUAUAGUUAAAUAUAAUGCAUUUCAUUUAUAAAUCUUCUAAUUCUUGAAUAACGAUCCUAUCAUCCUUUGAAAAUUUUUAUUACACCUUUUUUACUUUUGUUCUAAAACUUACAUAUCACCCUUAAUUGUACCAUGAGAACCUAGCUAUUUUUUUUUUUUUUGUAAUUCAUCAAAGUUAGCUUUUGUAUUCAUUGUUGUAUUAUUUUUAGUAUAACUUAGAAAGCUAGUGUUUUCAAGUGAGUAAAAUUAACUUGUAAAUAUUGUAAAGAUUCAUUGAUAUGUAUCUUAAACUAAGUGUACAAAUUAAAACAUUUGCUAGUAGAUUUUCUCAAAAUUUAGAAUAGAGCUUGAGGCUAUUGAAAUAGGUGGGGUUACACCAAACCACAUCACAUCGUUGUUUGCACCUUUUUUCACUCUCUUUUACUUAGUUUCUCUAUAUUUGUUGUCUAGUAAUAUCCUAUAGGCUUGAUGGGUUAGGGAGCAUCCCUUUGUGAAAAAAUUUCAUUCAAUUCUUAGUUGUAUUACGCAUAUAUAAAAUGCCUCAUUGUUUUAAUGGUAUUCAGUCGUGGCAUCACAGAUAUGGGCAUCUAAAUUUUAAAAGUUUGAAACUUUUGUAAAGCAUGUUGAUAAAAUCCAUGAGAGUUGUGUACUUGGGAAGCAACAUCGAGGUGACUUUAUUUUUUUUUCCUUUUAUAAUGCCACACCUAAGUCCGGUUUCUAAAUGCUAAAGUGAAAGGGUAGGUAUGGACCAUUGAAAUGUGAUCACAACUUUUGGCCUUUUCCUUUCUCUGCAGCCAUGUUGUCUCUUUUUUCUUUUGCAUGAUUUUCUUACCAAAACAGAAUCAUAGACUUGUUUAGUCUCUAAGCUACUAUAUUAUAUCUCGGUGGACUUUUAAGAGUGCAACCGACAUAGAGCACAUGCAAGUGGGCAUAUGGGACAUGAAAUUUCUUCUUACAAAGAUUGCAUGAUUUUUAUAUUAGAGUUGUUCACGUGCAAUGUAUUUAGCUUGUUUUGCAGUUAAAUUAAUUGGAUAAGUAAACAUUGGCAUUUCUAAAUCGACUGUGAAGUGCUUCAUGUACGUGUAAAGUAUUAGAAAUUUCUUUCUUGGCAACUUGUUUUUUCCUUGCCAUCUACUGGUAGGUUUGACUAAAAUUAUAUUCCCUGUCAUGCUAAUUAAUUUUCAUGUGCAUGCUCAAAAGAAGAGUAUGACCUUAGUGCACCAAAAUCACUUUGAUUAAUUUGUGAUAGGUUUUUUUGCAUCAUUUAGAUAAUGUUUAGUUCUAAGAAAAAUUUAUAUAAAAAUGGUUUAUUUAUCUUACAUAUAUAUAUAUAUAUAUAUAUUUUUUUUUUUUUCAUUUUUUUUUCUUCUAUUUUAUUUAUUUAUUUUAUUUUCCUUAUGUUUUCCUCACAUUUUCCGGAACUAAACAUAGUCUUACGAAAUCAACAAUUGCCUUCAACUGAGUAGAUUCUGUUGUUUUAGCAAUGUUAGGCUGCUAACUUGUGGUGGUACGAACCAAAUGACCCAUGUUAAUCUUGGCUUGGUUUGAUUUGGCUCUAUCUCAGAGAGCUAAAGGAUCACGUCAACUCUGGUUUCUACUAUUCAGGUCCAUUCCCAGAUGAACUGGUUCAAAUUUGAGAAAAUGGUAACAGACCUUUAGUGAUGUUGGUUUGGAGCCAGUUGCCAAACCCGCCCUGAGCUUUACCACUAAUGUCAAGGGAGAAAGCCAUUUGAACAAAAACAAUAGCUUCAAGAGACUGAAUCGUGGAUGAAAUCUGAUCCACAUUUCUUCUCAUUUUGGGAAAAAAUGAGAACUUAACUACAAAGAUUCUACUGCCUCAUUCAUAGUGCUUUUCCUGAUCCAAGGUUGGUUCGUUUCCCAAAUUGUGAGGUGCACGUGCCACUCUCACGCUCAGGAGUGUAUCCACGUGGUGGACAUCAGAUGGUGGCUUAAUAUCUGGUGUCGGUGGCUUUACUUUACUAGGAGAGUAGUGUGUCUUCAUCUCAUUCACUGCCGGAGGGUGGCGUAAGCAGUGACGCUAAGGUGGGGCACAGUCAAUAUCAUUUGCAUUUGACCAUUAUAGUUUUCUCCCGGCUUGAAAGUAACCUUAUCGUGAUAAAGGAUUACUAGCACUAGUUCAGAUGACCGUCAUGUUAAUUCGGACCAUGUUUGUGUCACAUUAUCAGCAACCAUGUGUUUAUGGUUCAUGCUAUCUGCAACUAAACUUGAUAUAUAACCAGGUGAACUUCAAUCAAAAUUCUGGAAGUACUCUUGUGAUAGAUGGUGCCUGUCUGCAGAGUCCAUCAAUUGAAAAAUGGAGUGAGUGUAUCUAUAAGAGGGAAGGCUUGGCAAAUGUUCAGUUUUCUGGGAAUUCAACAAGGAUCUAAAAUAGAUUGUUUUCUUUGCCGACUUCAAUGGUUGAAAUUUGAGAAGAUUGUGUCCACAUAUCACAACUAUUACUGGUCCUUCUGUUGCAAUUUAUCCUGUAAGGCUCUAACAUGUCUUCCAAUUCCCACUUCCCUGUUACUCCAGGAAAGCUAUUUCUGUCAUUGUGAAGAAGAAAAGAGAAUGUACAUAUCGAUGCUUUUAAGUGACUGGAGCAUUCAUAUCAGGUGGUCUGCAGCCAUAUAUGCCACUUUGUGAAGGUUGGAACAGUCAAUCACUAGGCUAUAUAUUGGUGUGGCCCAGCCACUUCAAUCAAGGACAAGUCUUCAUACUUAAAGUCAAAUUCUGCCUUUAGUCUCAUUAUAAAUUGCUGUUUAAAUAUUAAGCAAACUUUUGUUUAAUGCGAUUAAGACAGUACUAACUCAAUACUUGUUCUAUUUUUGGAUGCAAAUGCUUGAUGGUUUCAUCAUUGGAUGGGAUAAAGGUGCAUUCAUGAUUAUGAAUACUUGUAGUUAUAUUUUCAUUCUCUUUUUUCUCAAUGAGACUUGUUGGCACAAUGUUGCUGUUCAGAAACCUACCUCUCCAUGGAAAAUAAGUUGCGAUUGAUAGUACUGGAUAUGUUCAAGAAAGCUAAAUAUAGAUAGCACAAAAUAUUAUCGAUAUAAAUAGCAUUAACAGCGUACGUAUGUCUCAAUGCUCAUCAGCUAUAAGCAUGGGACAAACACUUACUAUGAGCAACUUACGUCAAAAUUCCAGAAUAGGACAUAGAAGUGACAGAUCUAUAUAUAUAGAACACUGCAUAUGAGUCACAAGAAAGGAAAUUACGGGUGCAUAGCAGCUCUUAUUUUACAUACUACUACUCAUACUGAUCAAAGUCACUCAGUUGGGAUGGGUGGGAGUAGGAGGUUUGUGGGGUGGCUUGUGCGGAGGAGUUGGCAGCUUCUUUCCAGGACCUGGUUGCUUCUCUGCUGGAGUUGAAGGAGGCUUAAUCUUCCGAGGUGGCUUGUAUGAGUCUUCAGCAUUCUCAGCUGGAGGGUGACCAGGGUUGUGACCAUAAUGUGGUGGCUUCUCUCCCUUAGGUGGUUUGCCAACUGGGGUUGGUGGCUUGUAUGAGUCUUCAGCAUUCUCAGCAGGAGGGUGACCAGGGUUGUGACCAUAAUGUGGUGGCUUCUCUCCCUUAGGUGGUUUGCCAACUGGGGUUGGUGGCUUGUGUUCUGGGAGUGGCUUCUCCCCCUUGGGAGGUUUUUCCAAUGGGGUUGGUUUGUGUUCAGGAGGUGGCUUCUCCACUGGAGGCUUGUGUUCAGGAGGUGGCUUCUCCACCGGUGGCUUGUGUUCAGGAGGUGGCUUCUCCACCGGAGGCUUAUGCUCUGGUGGUGGCUUCUCCACCGGAGGCUUAUGCUCUGGUGGUGGCUUCUUGAAUGGGGGAUGCUGAGGGUAAUCAGCAAGUGAGGGGGCGGUGAGAACCACCAGGCCAAGCAACACCACUAGCAAAUAUGUAGGAGACAUCUUUGGGUUUGGGCUCAGAUGGUGCAAAACUAGGAGAAUUGGCUAGCCUUUUAUAGCGGAUCGUACUCAAUAAUGAAAUGACACGUGUCAUUAUGACCCAUGUGUAAUGGGGUCGAUUUGGGUCCUACAGUGUUGAAAACUUCGACAUCCAGUUUUGGCCUUUUGCUUUCUCUACAGCCGCCUUGCUUUUUCCCUCUUUCCUUUUGUUUUCCUCCUGCCCCAUUCUAUCAACUAAACACAAUUAUGUAGUUGUUUAAUUCUUAAAUGAGAUAUUAUCGGUCAAUCGUAUUAUAUUUUAUCAAGAGAGAACGGAGUGCAAUGCAGCUGUAAUUUUAUCGUUUACUUUUAUCUCUUGGACCACUGCAUUUUUGUUAAGAGGUGCAAUAAUACACGUCUUUAUCUGCCAUUCAAUGUUUACAGUAAAGAGAGGGCACAAAACUCUUCACUGCUCUGCAUGUGUCCCAAAAAUGCGAUUGGACAAAUUAUGAUUUGCAUGCUAAAAAGAGGCAAAUGAGGUUAAUUCGCACCAUAAUUAUUUGGUUUUCUGGACACCAUAAAAAGAUGUUAUACAGGCAGGGAAAAACCUUCAGAGUUAGCUACCAAAGAUAAUUAUCAAGCAGAUAUCACCAAGAGAAUUCCAUAGAGUCUGAAUCAAAGACAGAUUGCUCGCUCGUGGGGGUUCUUACUUUCUUUUGGGUAUAACUCACUGAGGUCACUGUCUUUUUUAUUUGCAUUUCACAGUUAGAGUUCUGCUCUGGAAGGUUUGUUCUGGAAACAUAUAAAAGGAGCAUCAUUUUGUUCUUGGGUAACCCAUAGUCGUGAGUGGGUCCAUUUGCAUGCUACUUAGUUGAAAAGUUGGACAAUUUGCUCCGACGCCUACCUCCUGGAUUCCAUGCUCGGUAAAACAAGAAUAAAAAAAAAUAUAUAAUUUACAAAUGGGGGAAAGAAAAAAUGUCGGAAAAAAUAGUAAAAUUCAUGUCACAUGCUAGUGAGAGAAGGGGUUGUUACACUCACUCGAAGUUCUUUUCAAAAUAUCGAAUGGUAUUUUACUUUAUGUGUCAGCGCAGUUGUGAAUGGAACGUGCAAAAGUCCAAAUUGGCGUUUUUAUUUUUCCCAUGUAGGAUGGUGACCUUUAAUAAAUAUUUAAAACAAAAGACGAAAAAAAAAAGGAGGGAAAAGGGAUCACAAAAGAUAAAAUAAUGUUUACAAAAGCUCAAUUAGUUUGCAAAUUACUGUUUGGAUUUUGAUAGUAUUUUAUUUGUCGUUCUAUAUUUGAUGUAAAAGAGAAUUUAAGAUAUUUCCGAAGCAAAAGCAUUAGUUUGCUCUGUGAUGUCCCACAUCGAAUAGGGGAGAAAGUUUCUGGCGCUAUAUAUGUAGAGGCUCCUCUUAACCAAGUAGAUGCGUUUUAAAACCAUGAGGGCCCCCUUAGGUCCAAAGCGGACAAUAUCUACAUGAUUGGGUGUAAGUCAUUACAAAUGGUAUCAGAGCCGAUCCCCGACCCCGGUGUGGGGGUUUGUUUGGCCCUGUAAGGGGUGUUUGUCUGUUUGACCCCACAAUCCCAUGGGACACAACGAGGACGUUGUGUCUGCAUGGGGGGGCGUUUGUGAUGUCCCACAUCGGAUAGGGGAGAAAGUUCCUAGUGCUAUAUAUGUAGAUGUUUCUCUUAACCAAGUAGAUGCAUUUUAAAAUUGUGAGGGCCUCUUUGGGCCCAAAGCGGACAAUAUCUACAUGGUUGAGUGUAAGUCAUUACAUGCUCCAUGUCAAUUUCAGCAUUUCUCAUAUGUUUCACACAUACACAGAAGAGCAUCGUUUUUUAAAGCAUGCAUUUAUGUUGGAUUAAUUUGGAUUUUGUGGGAACUGGGGCAAGGAUCACAUGGAAGAGAGGUUGACUUUUUUCAGUACUUCAAUGGUUGAAAUAUGUGAAGGCUUGAUUGAUACUAAAGCUUGAAAUUGCGACUCUGUCAUUUGUAAAAAAAUAUGACAGCUUCCAUGCUCUCGUUUGGUUGCAUUGUCCGGUCGAGAGGUGCAAAAAGCAUUCUCUCUCUUCUAAUAGUCUUUUCGUUUAAAUCAAGGGAUUUGCCUUCCCGGUCGAGGUCCAAUAGAGGGUAACGGUCACCUACUAAACAUUAAAUGCUCCAACAACUAGUGAACUGAUCGACCCCAGCUCGACUAGUUGAGGUUACUUUUUGGUUUUCUUGUCUCCCGAGGUUAGAAACCUAUAAAUAGAGAGCUUCACUUCAUUUAUGAGUAAGAGAACACCUAAAUUUAUUUGUUUACCUACUUGUUUUUGCCAUAAAAGCUCUCAUUUCUUUUCUUGGUGUAUUAAAUCUCCAUUUGCAUAUCCUUUAGUGCACCUUUGUGAUUCAUUCUAGCCUUGAGUUGUAUUUAAGCCUUUGUUGAGCUAGGUUGAGAGUUUCAUACUUGUUUAUUGAGUGUUAAAGCCUUCAAGUGAGUUAAAACUUGAAGAGAUUGUGUAAGAGCCCAUUGGAGUCGGAAUCCAAGUGUAAAGGUGAUUAAAAGCUUGGUUGAAGCUUCAAGUUAGUGGAACUCUCACUCGGUUAUGAGCUUGAGAAGAGUGGACAUAGACAAGGCAGUGUCGAACCACUAUAAAAUCUGAGUUUGAUUUCUCUAACCUUAUCUCUUUAUAUUUGCUUCUCUUGUGCUUAAAUUUUUUGUGUUUAAAAAGAAUUUUUAAAAACUCAAUUCACCCCCUUCUUGGGAGUUUUUCUCUUUUAAGAUCAGCUUUUAUUUUCUCAAUUGGUAUCAGAACUAUGCCUCUUGUUUAAGACUUAAUCGUCUAAGAGGAAAUGGCUAAUCCAUCAAGUUCAUCUCACAUUGAAAGUUUUGCAACCAAUAGACUUCUUUUUUUUUUUUUGCGGGAACUGAUUAUCCCUAUUGGAAAACUAAAAUGACUUGGUUUUUACAAUCAAUUGAUUUAGAUGUAUGAGAUGCCAUUGAAGAUGACCUAACUUUUCCUUCAAAACUAGUUGAUGGAGUCAUGGUUCCAAAACCUAAGCAAGAAUGGGAUGAGCGUGAUUGAAGAAAUUUUCAAUUAAAUGCUAAAGUCGUUUAUACUUUGCAAUGCUCUAUGGACAGAAAUGAAUAUAAUAGAAUAUGUCAAUGCAAAUCGGUUAAAGAAAUUUGGAGAUUGCUUGAAAUAACUCAUAAAGGAACAAAUCAAGUUAAAGAGUCAAAAAUCAAUUUACUUGUUCAUAGAUAUGAAUUGUUUUUUAUGAAAGAUAAUGAAACUAUUGUUAAGAUGAUCACUAGGUUCACCAACAUUGUUAAUGGUCUUAAAGCCUUGGGAAAGACCUACAAGGAAUCCGAAAACGUGAUGAAGAUCUUGAGGUCACUUCCAUCAAAGUGGCAUACCAAGGUCACCGCAAUUUAAGAAGCAAAAGACUUGAUCAAGCUACCUUUGGAGGAGUUCAUAGGGUCAUUGAUGACAUAUGAAAUCAAUUUGGCAAAGAAGUAACAAAAAGGUGAAGACAAAAAGAAGAAGAACAUAACUCUCAAAGCUACAACUAAGGAAGAAGAAGUUGAAGAAGAAAAACAAAUUGAAGAAGAUGAAGAUUUAGCCCUCAUCACAAGAAAGUUCAACAAAUUCAUGAGGGGUGAAAGGUUUAGAAGAAGAAGGUUCACUUCUAGAAGAGACUUUUCUAAAAAGGAAUCUUCAUCUAAUGGUGACAAAAAGAGAUGGGAAGAGAAAAGAGACUUGGUGUGUUUCAAGUGCAAGAAACCGGGACACAUUAAAUAUGAUUGUCCUCUCUACAAAAGUGAAGUCAAGAGGAAAAAGAAUAAGGCAAUGAUGGCCACUUAGAGUGAAAGUGAAGAUGAAUCAUCCGAAGAAGAAAAUGAGAAAGAAGUGGCAAACAUGUGUUUCAUGGCAAUAGAUGAACUUGAUGAGGUAAAAUCUAACCUUAGUGAUUAAGAUAUACAUGAUGCAUUUGAAGAAUUGUAUGAGGAUUUUUAAAAACUUAGUUUGAAAAAUAUUUCUCUUAAAAAGAAAGUUCAACAACUUGACAAAGAACUUAGAGAAGUAAAAGAAAAAUUUUCAAAUGUUAAAGUUUCUAAAACUCAUCUUGAAAAAGAAAAUGAGAUUCUAAGAAAGAAAAAUGAAUAGUUGAACUCCUCUCUUUCAAUCUUUUCUUCUAGACAAAAAUCUUUUGAAAUGAUUCUAACUAGCUAAAAAUGUGUUUUUGACAAACAAGGGUUAAGAUUUAAAUCUUCAAAAAAUCAAAAGUAUUUUAAAAACUAUUUUGUAAAGGAAUCCACAAGUGCAAGUCCUUCCACUACUUGCAACUUUUGUGGAAGAGAAUGGCACAUUAGUAGUACGCCCUUUAAGAAAUGGUUCUCAAAAGAAUUUAAAUGCAAAAACUAAAAAAGAUUUGGAUUGAGAAAUCCAAGGUCACUAACCCUCAAGGACCCAAAAAGAUAUAGGUACCUAAAUCAACUUGAGUUUUAUGUUGUAAGGUUCAAAGAAUGAUAAGUGGUUCUUAGAUAAUGGUUGCUCAAGACACAUGACCGGAGAUGAAUCCAAGUUUGCUUUUCUUAAAAAGAAAAAUGGAGGAUAUGUUACCUUUGGAGACAAUGCAAAAGAAAGGAUGAUUGGUCAAGGCAACAUUGGUAAUGGCACAUCCUCUCUCAUUGAAAGUGUUUUAUUAGUAGAUGGUUUCAAACAUAACCUUUUAAGCAUUAGUCAAUUUUGCGACAAAGGUUUUUAAGUGAUUUUUUAAGCAUCUCAUUGCAUCAUCAAGGAUAUUCAAAAUGAUAAAACCAUUUUCAUGGGCCAUAGAUGUGAUAAUGUUUAUGCUAUAAAUAUUUCAAAAUAUGAUGGCCAUGAUAGAUGUUUUUCAAGCAUGCAUGAUCAAAGUUGGUUGUGCCAUAGGAGAUUGAGACAUGCUAACAUAGACCUCAUUUCCCAACUCAACAAAGAUGAACUUGUUAGAGGCCUUCCCAAAAUAAUUUUUUAAAAAGAUAAAGUUUGUGAAGCUUGUCAAGUGGGAAAGUAAAUCAAAAACUCUUUUAAAAACAAAAACUUCAUUUCCACAUCUAGGCCACUUGAGUUGUUGCAUAUGGAUUUAUUUGGUCCCUCUAGGACACCAAGUCUUAGAGGAAAUUCUUAUGCAUAUGCUAUUGUGGACGACUUCUCUAGAUACACAUGAGUCUUGUUUUUUAGUCAAAAGAAUAAAGUUUUUUAUGAGUUUUCAAAGUUUUGCAAUAAGAUUCAAAAUGAAAAAGGUUUUUCAAUUACUUAUAUAAGAAGUGAUCAUGGGAGAGAAUUCGAAAAUAUUGAUUUUGAAGAGUAUUGCAAUGAGCAUGGAAUUGACCACAAUUUUUUGGCUCUUAGAACUCCUCAACAAAAUGGGGUAGUUGAAAGGAAAAAUAGAACUCUUCAAAAAAUGACAAGAACCAUACUAAAUGAAAACAACUUACCAAAAUAUUUUUAGGCCAAAACGGUUAACACUUCUUGUUAUGUUUUAAAUAGAGUAUUAUUGAGGCUCAUACUUAAGAAAACUCCCUAUGAGCUUUGGAAAAACAAAAAACCCAACAUUAGUUAUUCCAAAGUCUUUGGAUGCAAUAUUUUAUAAUAAACACCAAAGACAAUCUUGGAAAAUUUGAUGCAAAAUUGGAUGUUGGAAUUUUCCUUGGUUACUCAACUUCAAGUAAAGCUUUUCGAGUUUUAACAAAAGAACCAUGGUUGUAGAGGAGUCCAUCCAUGUUAUUUUUUAUGAAUCUCCAAGAAAGAGAGAGGAUUGAUGAUGAUUUAGGUUUGAAGACCUCUAUAGGAAGAUUGCAAAUCGAAGAUAGAAGACAACAAGAAGAAAAUGGAGAGAAUCCAAAGAAAGAAGGAUCACCAUUGGCACUACCCCCUCAUCAACAAGCGCAAGGUGAAUCAAGUCAAGAGCUUCCUAAAGAAUGGAAGUUUGUCAUCAAUCACCCACAAGAUCAAAUUAUAGGCAAUCCAUCUAGUGGGGUAAGAACUAGAUCCUCUCUUAGAAAUAUUUGCAAUAAUCUAGCUUUUAUCUCUCAAAUUGAGCCUAAAAAUAUAAAUGAUGUUUUAGAUGAUGAAAAUUGGAUAAUUGCAAUGCAAGAAGAGUUAAAUCCAUUUGAAAGAAGUGGAGUAUGGGAAUUAGUACCAAGACCUUCAAAUCAAAGUGUUAUUGGAACUAGAUGGAUCUUUAGAAAUAAAAUGGAUGAAAAUAGCAUAAUUGUUAGAAAUAAAGCAAGAUUGGUAGCCCAAGGUUUUAAUCAAGAAGAAAUGAUAGAUUAUGAAGAAACCUUUGCCCCCGUAGCUAGGUUGGAAGCCAUUAGGAUGCUACUUGCCUUUGCAUGUUUUAAAGACUUUGUUUUAUAUCAAAUGGAUGUGAAAAGUGCUUUUUUAAAUGGUUUUAUAAAUGAAGAAGUAUAUGUUGAACAACCACCCGGUUUUCAAAGUUUCAACUUUCCUAACCAUGUUUUUAAACUUAAAAAGACACUUUAUGGUUUGAAACAAGCACCUAGAUCAUGGUAUGAAAAAUUGAGUAAAUUUCUUUUGAAAAAAAUGUUUUAAAAUGGGAAAAAUUGACACAACUCUUUUUAUAAAAACCAAAGAAAAUGAUAUGCUCUUAGUUCAAAUAUAUAUUGAUGAUAUCAUUUUUGGUGCUACUAAUGUCUCUCUUUAUGAAGAAUUUUCUAAGUGCAUGCAUAGUGAGUUUGAAAUGAGCAUGAUAGGAGAACUCAACUUCUUCCUUGGACUUCAAAUCAAGCAACUAAAGGAAUGAACCUUCAUCAAUCAAGCAAAGUAUAUAAGAGAUCUUCUCAAAAGGUUCAACAUGGAAGAAGCCAAAACAAUGAAGACUCUAAUGAGCUCAUCCAUUAAGCUUGAUAAGGAUGAGAAAGGUAAAUCCAUUGACUCUAUUAUGUAUAGAGGCAUGAUAGGUUCUUUGCUCUAUUUGACCACUAGUAGACCUUACAUUAUGUAUAGUGUGUGUUUGUGUACUAGAUUUCAAUCUUGUCUUAAAAAAUCUCACUUAAGUGUCGUGAAAAGAAUCCUCAAAUAUUUGAAAGGGACAAUGGACAUAGGCUUAUGGUAUCCUAAGAGUGAUAACUUUGAAUUAAUUGGUUUUUUGGAUGCUGAUUUUGUCAGUUGUAGGGUUGAAAAAUAAAACACUAGUGGCACUUUUCAUUUCUUAAGACACUUACUUGUCUCAUGGCAUAAUAAGAAGCAAAAUUUGGUAGCUUUGUCAACAGCAGAAGCUAAAUACAUAGCAACUGGUUUAUGUUGUGCACAAAUCCUUUGGAUGAAAUAAACACUUAGUGAUUUUGAUUUAUCUUUUGAGCAUAUUCCUAUUAAAUGUGAUAAUAGUAGUGCCAUAAGUAUAUCAAAAAAUCUCGUGCAACACUCUAGGACUAAGCAUAUAGAGAUUAGACAUAAUUUUCUUAGAUAUCAUACACAAAAGGAUGAUAUAACACUUGAAUUUGUAAGCAUAAAAGACCAACUUGCCGAUAUCUUUACAAAACCUCUAAGAACAUUUUGUUGAUAUUAGAGGACAAUUAGGAGUGAUUUCUUUAUGAUCUAAUGUGAUGAAUUCUUGAUGAAUAUACUUUUUGAUUGCAUGAAUUUCAUGUCAUAUAUGCAUCAUAUAGAAAUAUACUUAGAUAAUGGUCAAAUUUCGACCAAAAAUCAAAAUUCCCAUGGCAUUAGGCAUAAAAAUUUUGGAAUUUCAACUGAAAAUGGUAGGAGGAGGAUCACAAAAUGAGAAAGUAUGCAAAAAUUGAAAAAUCAAAACGUUGACCAAGCGGUCAAUCGGACUAGACCGAUCGACUAGUUUGUCGAGAUUUAGGAUUUUUAAGAGACUCCAACGCUUCAAUUUUUGCACCGUUCUCCUCUAUUUCUUCACGGUUUCUCUGAUUUUGUCUUUUAGAGACUAAUUUGAGUGCGUUUUGGAUCAAUUGAAGCAUUUUGGAUUGGAUUUUAGGAAGAUUGAAAGUUAAGGUUUCGGAUUUGGGUCGCCUUCUCUUCCUCUCGCGUGUCACAAUCAGCUUUAGCAUUGUUCUCUUUCCAUUUUCACACACCUAGGGUUUCAGUUGUGAGCAUCUCUCUCUCUUUACCAACCACUACUCCCUUGCUUCUUCCAUAUGGCUCCUAGGCGAGAGUCCGCUACUUCUAGGGCACAAGGCAAGCACCCAACUGAGUCGUCUCAGUCAAAGGCACGUCGAAAAGUGAGAUUUGACAUUGCCUUGUUCAGUUCCAUGGAGGACUACCAACUAUACAAGCAACACUUUGCUUAGAGACGAGUAGUUCCCAAGAGAAAUAUUAAUUUUCCUCAACUUCAGCAUUUCGAAUUUAAGGGUCUAUUUACUAGGAUGGUUGGUUGUCUAUUGUCACAAUUUCGGAGCCGGUUUUCCUGACCUUAGUGCGAGUUUUUUACUCGAGGGCGACUUAUGGCAUGGGUGGCAUGAUCAUUUCUACUGUUGGAGGAGUUGAGAUCUGUCUGGACCCAGAGAGCAUCUGCCAUAUUUUCGAUAUUGCUCUGGUUGGACUCAAAGUAUACAAGUCCAAAAUGUGGCCCAUUGUGCCAGGAUUUGAGCUUAGAGAGGUCAUUCAGAGGAUUUGUGAACUUCCAGACGCCCAGGAGAUGGGCAAACCAUUGCCACACAGUUUGACGGUCAUCAACAGGGUGCUACACCAUAUAUUGUGCUCUAUCUUUCUACCACGAAGUGGACAUUGAGAUGAGGUCUCUUAUUAUGAGGCAUUCCUUAUUGACUCCAUUCUAACGGAGAGACGAAUUCAUCUACUAUGUCAUCAUUCACUAAGCCUCCUCACAGUGACAUACCACCUCAUCAGGCACCUCUUGCUCCUGACCAUGCUCCAUUGAUGGAUUUAUUUACUCAUAUUAGCUCUCUAGGCACUCGCAUGAAGGAGUUUGUUGUAGUUAGUGAUACAUGGUUCUACUCCAUAGAGGAUCGCAUGGAUCAGUAUCAGACUGGCUUCACGUCACAGUUUGAGUAUCUCCAAUAGAGGAUUGAGCAUAUUGAGGAUCACUUGAGCAUGAGAAGAUGAUGGCUUUUCUAUGCUCUGUGUUUCCACCUCCACCUCGUCAACCUUGAUUUCUUAGAGACCCAUUGUUUUCAUUUUGUAAUGUUGCCAAAAGGGGGAGAUAUUUAGGAUCUAGGACUCUAUAGGAGACUUACAUGCAUAUCAUUUUCAUAUCAUUGUUUGGAUCGUACAUAUUGGAUAGUGAUACUUUUUACUUAUAUAUGAUAUGCCUAUAUGUUUCAUGUCUUACAUUGUUUCUUAUUGCAAAUUAUCUCUAACAUGUCUUGAUUAUCUUUUUUUUAACUUCAUAAAUUUUGAUUGUUAACCCAUGAUUGGUUUGAGGGGAAGAUUCUUCUUCUCCUAGAUAACCAAGGUUUGUCAUCAUAAAAAAAUUGGAGAUUGUUAGCCCAAGGGUUCUCCUAAUCAUGUUUUGAUGAUAACAAACCAUGCUUAAGUUACUAAUUGGUUUGAAUUAUAAAGAAUUUCAAGUGUUAAUUUGAAAAUUCAUCAAAGAACCUAAUGGAUGCAAGAUCAAGAUUUUUGGAAGACCUUUAAUCAUAAGAAACAUAUGUAAGAUGAAUGCAUGGGUGCACUUAAGAUUUGCAUAUCAUUUCAUGCAUAUUUGGAAAACACGGUUUAUGCUUUAAAGUUACAUUUCCAUCAAAAUUUGAGAUCCAUCAAAUGAACCUUAGGAAAAAUGUUUUAAAAUUGGCAUAUAAUUUUACCUAAAGACCUUGCCUAAGUGUUAGAAGCAAAAGGACAAAAAAAAUAUAGGUUUUCUGGUCAAAAAUGGUGAACCAGUCAAGGCAUUGUCUAAAUCAGCUCAAUCGGCCAAGGUACCGGUCGAUCGGUUUCCCUUUCCCUGUCGAGAUCUAGUCAAGAGGUACAAAAAUCACAAUCUCUGUCUCUUUCUCUCUUUGUCUAUCUUCCAGUAGUCUUUCCUUCCCGGUCGAGGGAUUUGCCUUCCCGAUUGAGGUCCGAUUGAGAGUAAUAGUCACUUGCCAAAUAUUAAAUGCUCCAACAGUUAGUGAACUGGUCGACCCCCACCUUGCCCAGUUGAGGUUACUUUUUGGUUUUCUUGGCUCCCGAUGUUAGAAACCUAUAAAUAGAGAGUUCCACUUCAUUUAUGAGCAAGAGAACACUUGCAUUUAUUUGUUUACCUACUUGUUCUUGCCUUAAAAGCUCUCAUUUCUUUUCUUGGUGCAUUAAAUCUCCAUUUUGAUAUCCUUUAGUGCACCUUUGUGAUUCAUCUUAGCCUUGAGUUGUAUUUGAGCCCUUUUUUUAGCUAGGUUGAGAGUUUCAUACUUGUUAAUUGAGUGUUAAAGCCUUCAAGUGAGUUGAAACUUGUAGAGAUUAUGUGAGAGUCGAUUGGAGCCGAAAUCCAAGUGUAAAGGUGAUUAGAAGCUUGGUUGAAGCUUCAAGUUAGUGGAAUCCUCACUCAAUUAGGAGCUUGAGGAGAGUGGACGUAGCCAAGGAAGUGUCGAACCACUAUAAAAUUUGAGUUUGAUUUCUCUAACAUUGUCUCUUUAUAUUUGUUUAUCUUGUGCUUAAAUUUAUUGUGUUUAAAAAGAAUUUUUAAAUACCCAAUUCACCCCCCUCUUGGGUGUUUUUCUCUUUUAAAAUUAGCCUUUAUUUUCUCACAAACUAUUGUAGUAUAGUGGUUUUUAGGUGUCAUCCAUUAGGAUGAAUUGUUCUCGGUAAUUAAGGCGUGAAUGAGAGGAGAAUUAAUGAUUGUGAUUAAGUAAAAUUGAUUUGAAAAUUCAUGGUGAAAAAUCAAUUUAACAAUGGUUUCUAAUUGAGAAAAACAAUGAAAUGUGAAAUAAAAUAAAAUUAAUAGGAAAUGAAAUUCUCGAAGUUAGAAUUUUCUAAAAAACAAAUUCCAUGGUGAAUGGAUGUUGAGAUCUAAUUUUCAUCAAGUUAGAUUGAAAACCGAAAUUUUCAUAUAAACUGAUUUUUUAUUUAGUUUUAGGUCUAGAUUUAAUUUCCCUUAAAAUUAGGUUAUUUAAUCCAAGAAAUCAAUUCAAAUCAUAUAUUCAAUUCAUCUUAAAUUAUCUUCCAAUUAUUCACACAAUGCAACUAUUCAAUCUCAUCAAAUCUAGCUUUUAAGAAUUUAAUGAAUCUACCUAGUUUGCAUUGUAAUAGUCAUCCAUGACAAUUUGAAGAGAAAAAUAAUUCAAUUAAUCAAUCACUUGGAUCAAAUUACCUUUGCAAUUAAAGUUCAUUUCUCUAAUUCACCACAGAUUUUGUCUCUAGAUCCUCCUUUCUCAAAGAAAAAUGAGAUUUAGCCACACAUGAUUGGAGAUUUGGUCUCAUAAGGCAUGUUUAGCUAGUGAUAAAAUGAGAGAAAAUAAAGAAAAAUAGAGAAUUCGAUUAAGAAAGAAAAUCUAAAAAAUUCUACAAUUAGAAAUGUCCAAAAAGCUUUUUCAUGAGAAAAUCAAGUUUCUAUUUAUAGGCCAAGGUCAAGUGGACACUUGACAUCAUCUAAGAGGUCUUCCGGAAGCUUCUUCAUCAAGAAAUCUGGAGUUUAAUAAUAAAAUGGUCAUUUCACAAGAGCUCAAACAAUUUCGCAUGAUUAUGUGAAAUAAAAAAUGCAACAACAGCAAUUUACAUCUUCUUGGAGCAUUUCGCAUGACUGUGUGAAAUUUUCACAUGAUCAUGUGGAAUCGACUUGACAACUCUCAUUUAGCCUACAACAUAAUUCCACCUUUUGGUCCAUUUUUCAUAGUCAUGCGAAAUGGAAAUAUUUGAUUUUUAAGUUUUCUUUUGUCAUUUCUUUCAUUUCCUUCUCUUGAUUCCACUUCAACUACCUCCGAAUCCUGGUCCAAACCAAUUGCAUUACUUCUUUCAUUAUGCAUUUGGAUCAUCAUCAACAUUAUUUGUUCUCUUCAAUUUGAUUCAUCUCUUUUGUCACCAAUUUAUCAAAAUCAUACCUUGAAAUGACUCCAAAACUUCAUAAAACUUGUUAGUAACUCUUGCAAGGGCAACAACAUAUUAAUUAAGUGUUUUAGGCAUAGUUACUACUCAAAAGAUGCGAAACUCAUGAUAAUUAUUAUAUAAAAUAUGCUCUUUUUGAGUAGUAAUCAACUUUCUUGCAUAAGCAGACCUUUUAGGGUGGAGUACUAAAGACCAAUAUGCUUGUCCUUGUUGUAAUAAAGAAACUUGCUCUUAUUGAUUGCACCAUGGGAGAAAAUUUUGCUACAUGAGUUAUCAUCAAUUUCUUCCCACCAAUCAUAGAUUUAGACGUGACAAGAGGCCUCUUAAUGGCAAGGAGGAACUGACACUCACACUUAUACAAUUAUCGGGCAUUGAUGUGUUGCAACAAUUAGAAUAACUUACACCAAUUAUGUUGGGGAAGUCACAAAAGGCAAACAUGAAAACUAAAAGGAAAAAAGAAAAAUGUUACAUAUCACCACAACUGGAAAGAAAAAAGUAUUUACUUUCAUUUGCCAUAUUGGAAAGCACUUAUUUUACAUCAUAAUAAUUUAGACAUAAUGCAUAUUGAGAAAAAUGUGUGACAAUAUAAUUGAGACAUUGUUCAGUAUUGACGAAGAAACAAGGACAACCUAAAUAGUCAUCUCGAUUUACAAGCUCUAACUAUUAGAAAUGAGAUUCACCCAAUAGAAAGCAGGACCAAAUUUAUUUUGCUUGCAACAUGCUACUCACUCACCCCAAAUGAGAUUAAGGAAUUUUGCAAGUUUUUGAAAUCAAUAAAGGUCCCCAAUGGCUAUUCUUUCAAUAUCUCUCGUUAUGUGCAACUCAAUGAAAGGAAGAUAUAUGAGCUCAAAUUGUAUGAUUGUCAUGUCCUAAUGCAACAACUUCUCUCACUUGUAGUUCGUGGAGUUCUACAUAAGAAUGUUUGUGGAGUUAUCAUAGAAUUGCGUAAUUUUUUCAAGCAAUUGUGCUCAAAGGUGUUAGAAACAAAUCACUUACACCAACUUGAGAACAAUAUUAUUGUCAUACUAUGUAAAAUGGAGCAAAUAUUUCUUCCAUCAUUCUUUGAUAUUAUGGUGCAUUUACUUGUGCAUCUAGUAAGGCAAAGGUUGCAAGACUUGUGCAAUAUUGUUGGAUGUACCUAAUUGAACGAUAUUGUUAUAAUUUCAUAUGAAUCAUUUAAUUUUAUUUUAUAUUAUGUUCAGUUCAUUAACAUGUACAUUGGUCUACAUAUGGAUGAUGAUAGGUACCUAAGCACUUUAAAGUCAUAUGUGCGUAAUAGAACUUUUCUAGAAGGUUCUAUUGUAGAAAGGUACCUUGCAAAAGAAUGUACAACAUUUUAUUCUAGGUACUUGAAUGAUGUGGAAAUAAAGUAUAAUCACAAUGAUAGAAACUUUGUUGGUUUCAACACUAGAGGAGAUGAAAGGGGUUAUCUUUAAACAUAUUGGACAUGCAUUGGGAAAGCCCAUAUUUCAUUAACUUAGUUCAAAAGAGUGGUCACAAGCACAUUUAUAUGUGUUGACAAAUUGCGAAGAUGUCAUACCAUUCAUUGAGUAAAAAAUUUAUUUGAAUUUUAAUUAAAGCUCUAGUUUAUAUCCUUAAUCAAUGUUUUUUAAAUUCACAAGGAGCACAAGCAAACCAUCAAGGCUAGACCACAUAUACGUGUUUGAGACGUAGAUUUAAUUCAUAACAAGGAAUUUAUCAAGUGGUUUGAAAGACAUGUAAGUAUAUUCCUUAUUAUAAGGGAUUUAUUUCACAUUAUGUUUAUAUUGAAUCCAAACCUAUUAUUGAAUUGUAGGUUGAACAAUUACAUAAUGAAGGUCAUAUAUCUGAACACCUUCUCACAUUAUCAUGUGUUCCAAAUUCAUUAGUUACAUGCUUCAAAUGAUAUAUUGUCAAUGGAUUUAGAUCCCACAUUAAAGAACGUGAUAAAAAAGUUUUUAAAAAAAGACUCAGAAUAAUGGAAUUGUUGUAGUUGCAAAAACGUCAAGCUUUACAAGUGCAUGUGAUAUGAGUCCAAUUAUUAGUGAUGCUCUCUACUAUGGUGUUCUAACUAAAGUUGUUGAGUUACAUUAUCUUGGUGAAAAUAAGGUUGUUUUAUUCGAGUUUGAUUGGUGGGAUGUUACAAAUAUUGGAAAAUUGAUAAAAGAUGAUGAGUACAAUUACACAUUUGUUAACUUUGCAUGAAUUCUAACCACGAACGAACGAUUUGUACUUGCAUCUCCAGCAAAGUAAGUGUUCUAUGUGAAGAAUGCGAAUGAAUCAGAUUGGCAUACUAUCAUGGAGAUGCAACCUCAAGACCUCUAUAAGAUGAACGGGAUAGGAUCCAAUGGUGAUUUUGAACCAUUUCAACAAAGUGAACUACAUGAUCACUAAUAUAUCUCAGAUUUAGUUGAUGAAGAUAUAAUCAAGUGGAACAAAAGUGAUGUUUUAGGACUAAUCAUCCUAAAAAAUAUUGUAGUUUCUUAAAAAAAAAAUGAAAAUGAAGAAGAUAAUUGAACCUUUGUCAUACUUUAAAAAGCAACUAUGCAUUGUUCAUUUUGUAUGUUUUGGUUUUCUUCAUUUAAUUUCCUGAUUUUUGUGAUUCAAUGUCAUAUUAUUGAUCUUGAAAUAUUUUUCUAAUUUUUCAUUCUACGAUGGUUUCAACAAGGAUGACAUCAAGUCAAAAAAGGAAAUGUGGUCCCACACACAAUAUUGCAUUACAGGGAUUAAGGUCAGGGAAGAAGGUAAAAGUUGCAUUUAAUGAGUACAAUCAAUUGGUUAAACAGAAAAAUGGAAAACACUUAUCGAGCUACAUAGGGACACUUGUAUCUAACCAACACAAUGUACCUCUCCAAGCUAGUGAUUGGAAAAAUGUUCCAAAUGAUGCAAAAGAGAAAGUAUGGCCUUUGUUUUGGUAUGUUGUAUUUCUCACUAUAUGAUGUCAUUUCACUGUUAUUCUAUUUUGUGACUAACGUUUGAAUCAUAUGUAAGAAAAAUUUGAAGUAGAUAAAGACUGAAAAGAUUACAUGUUGGGUAUAGCCUCAAAUAAAUAUAGAAGCUAUAAAAAUAUGAUGAAUGCAAAAUACUAUGACCCUUGGCAUAAGGAUGCAUGAGGAGAGGUUAAUACAUAAAUCACCAUUUGUCUCUGAUGUUGAUUGGAAGUGGCUUGUCUCUGAUGCAUAAACCAAAUCCCCCACUGAAUGUUUGAUAUUUGAUAGCAGGAAAAACACACCCGCAGCUAUACACCUCCAUCAUUCAGAUAAUUAUAGUGGGGGAGAUGAUUCAUGGUUGCCCUUAUACCCUUUAUUUGCACCAUCUAUUGAGAUUCUUUAUCAUGGCCAGGUUUUACUGCAGCAAUAAGAUAUGGUGGCAACAAUUUUAUCUAUAGGUGCGGUUCCAGACCGCCUCCAUAGGUGCGGUUCCUGACUGCCUCCAUAGGUGCCUCUUCUUGUAAUGUUUGUUCUGGGAAUUACACUUGAAAGCCUUAUCGUGAUAAGGGAUUACAAACACUAGUUCAGAGGACAGCCAUGUUAAACUUCCACUAUGUUUGUGUCACAUUAUCAGCAGCCUAGUGUUUAUUGGUCAUGCUAUCUGCAACUAAUAUAACCCGGUGAACUUCAAUCUAAAUUCUGAAAGUACUCAUGUGACAGAUGGUGCCUUUCAGCAGAUAUCAUCAAUUUAAAAGUAGUGUGUGUGCCUAUAGGUGGGAAGGCCUUGGCAAAUGUUCAGUAUUCCGGUAAUUCAAGAAGGAUAUAUCUAAAAUAGAUUUUCUUCUUGCCCAUUUCAAUAGUUAAAAUUUGAGAAGAUUGUGUCCACAUCACACAAAUAUUAUUGGUCCUUCUGUUGCAAUUUACCUCUGAACAUGUCUUCCAAUUCCCACGGUCCUGUUACUCCAGGAAAACUAUUUCGGUCAUAUUGAAAAAAAAAAUAUUAAAGAAGGUACACAUGCUUUUAAGUGGACUGGGGCAUUCAUAUCAGGUGGUCUGUAUCCACAUAUGCCACUUCGUGAAAGGUGGAACAGCCUAAUCACUAGGCUAUUUAGUGUGGCCCAGCCACGUUAAUCAAGCACAAGUCUUCAUACUUAAAGUCAAAUGGUGUCUUUAGUCUCAUUACACAUCGCUAUUUGAAGAUUAACUCAUCACUAGUGUAAUGCGAUUAAGACAGUCCUAACUCAAUAUUUGUUCUAGUUUUGGAUGCAAAUGCUUGCUGGUUUCAUCAUUGGAUGGGAUAAAGGUGCAAUCAGGACUAUGAAUACGUGCAGUAAUACUUCAUUCUCUUUUUUCUCAAUGAGACUUCUUGGCACAAUUUUGCUGCUCAGCAACCUACCUUUCCAUGGAAAAUCAGUUGUGACUGAUAGUAAUGGAUAUAUUCUAGAAAGCUAAACAUAGAUAGCAUUCAAUAUUAUCGAUAUAACAUUAACAGCGUAUGUCUCAAUGCUCAUCAGCUACAAGCAAUGGACAAACACUUUGAGUAACUCACAGCAGUCAAAAUUCCUAAACAGGACAGACGUGACAGAUCUAUAUAUAGAACACUGCAUAUGAGUCACAGGAAAAGAUAAUACGGGUACAUAGAAGCUCUUAUUUUACAUAUUACUCAUACUGAUCAAAGUCGCUCAGUUGGGAUGGAUGGGAGAAGGAGGUUUGAGGGGUGGCUUGUGCGGGGAAGUUGGCAGCUUCUUUCCGGGAGCUGGUUGCUUCUUUGCUGGAGUUGAAGGAGGCUUAAUCUUCCGAGGUGGCUUGUAUGAGUCUUCAGCAUUCUCAGCAGGAGGGUGACCAGGGUUGUGACCAUAAUGUGGUGGCUUCUCUCCCUUAGGUGGUUUGCCAACUGGGGUUGGUGGCUUGUUUUCUGGGAGUGGCUUCUCUCCCUUGGGUGGUUUGCCAACUGGGGUUGGUGGCUUGUGUUCUGGGAGUGGCUUCUCCCCCUUGGGAGGUUUUUCGAAUGGGGUGGGUUUGUGUCCUGGUGGUGGCUUCUCUCCCUUGGGAGGUUUACCAAUUGGGGUCGGUGGCUUGUGUUCUGGGAGGGGCUUCUCUCCCUGGGGAGGUUUAGUGGGUGGCUUGUGUUCUGGAGGUGGCUUCUCCACCGGAGGCUUAUGCUCUGGUGGUGGCUUCUCGAAGGGGGGAUGCUCAGGGUAAUCACCAAGUGAGGGGGUGGUGAGAACCACCAUGCCAAGCAACAACACUAGCAAGUAUGUAGUAGACAUCUUUGGGUUUGGACUCAGACAGUGCAAAACUACGAGAAAUCGCUAGCCCUUUAUAGCGGCUCGGACCUAAUACUGACAUAAUAUAAAAUAAAUAUUAUAUUUUAUCAAGAGAGAACAGAGUGUAAUUUUAUCAUUAAUACCGAUCGAGGCCAAAGAAAGAAGACCCAUAAUCCAUUUCCCACAAGCAUACACAAUGCAGCUGUAAUUUUAUCAUUUACUUUUAUCCCUUGGACCACUGCAUUUUUGUUGAGAGACACAAUAACACAUUUUUAUCUGUCAUUCAACAUUUACAGUAAAGAGAGGGCACAAAACGCAAUUAGAUAAAUUAUGUUUUGCCUGCUAAAAAGAGGCAAAUAACUUUAUUUGCAACAUAAUUAUUUUGGUUUCUAGUGACCCCGGGGCCUUUCGGUUGGUUUGGGAUCGGAAAAUGAACAUCAUAGGGGGGGUUGUGCCCUUAUGGGCAUAUAUAUCUGAUAGCUUCAACUGGCCUUGUUCCUAGAAAGAAAUUGCCAAAGAUAUAAACUUAUUCCAGGCUGAAAGUAGAUGAGAGUCAUAAUGAACAUCAACCUUUGUUCAGUUUGAUUCAAUGCCCCCAUAGUGUUCAUUUCACAGAUCUGAAUGAUUAUAUCCGUUGAAUACAUAAAUUAAUGAAGACAAAUAUGAAACCCAAGAUACAUCUCUGCAUAACAACCCCAACCCUGGUUGCUAUGUUUCCCUUCUUCUAUUCACAUGAGGAUACUGGUUAUAAUUGUCAAACUUGCAACAAGCCCUUUGACACCUAACGUCAAUGGACGAAUUAAAAGUCUCCUUCAAACGUCUAUUUCACAGCAUGAAGCUUAUAAAGGAUGCUGACAACCUUCAGAGUUAGCGACAAAAGAUAAUUAUCAAGGAGAGAUAGUUCCAUGAGAAUUCCAAGGAGUCUGAAUCAAAGACAAAUUGCUCACUCAAGGGUUCUUAUUUUCUUUUAGGUACAAAUCUCUUGAGUGUUGUUAAAGAAACACGUCACUGUCAUUUUGAUUUGCAUUUAACAUUUCACUUUUGUUCUGGAAGGUUUGUUCCGGAAACAUAUCAAAUGAGCAUCAUUUUCUUCUUCGGUGACACAUGGUCGCGAGUACGUGGGUCCAUUUUCAUGCCACUUAGUUGAAAAGUUGGAAAGAAAAAACAUGCCAACAAGAAGAUAGUGAGAGAAGGGGCACUUCAAGCCUUUAACAUGAACAAACAGUAAAUAAAAGAUGUUUCUCCACUCAUAAAAGUGUGUUAGAUAGCAAUAUAACGAAUCACAUCCAAAAUCUUUACUAGGCUCAAACAUAAAGAAGACUCAUUUUUAAGAAAAGAUAAAAAUGGCAUUGUCUGAUAGUAUCCAAUACACGAGAUGGCACUUAAUUUGUACAAGAUCUGUCAAUGCUGACGCACAUUUUCUGAUUAAAAAAAAACUGAUCAGUCAAAAGCAAUGAAGAGAAGUGAUGACAAUGAAUGAUGCUUCCAAUAUUUUCACCCCUUAUAGUGUUCUUCAUGAUUCAGAUAUAUAAUUGGAAAUAGAACAACCCUAUGCCAUACAUUCGUCUAAGUAUGGUGUCUAAUUUUUUGUGUCAGCGGUUGCGAAUGGAGCGUGCAAAAGUCCAAAUUGGCGUCUCUCCAUUUCCACAUAGGAAGGUGACCUUUAUUGACAAAUACCCAAUAUUUGUAGACAUUCCUUAAAUAUCAUAACUUCUUGUUGAUUUGAAAAUCAUUUUUCAACUACCAUGUUUUAAUAAAUAUUUUUUAAAAUGUAUUUUUAUCAAAGUCCACCAUGAUGGAUAAUAUUCACCAUGCAAUAAUUAAUAAAGUACAAACUAAGCGAAAUGAAAAGCAUUUUCUUUGCUUUGAGUUGAUUUUGGUUGCAUUGAGUUGAUUUUGGUUUCAUGGUUUUUUCAACUCUUAUUUUGAUUGGAAGAUGUCAAGAAAAGAAAACAUAAAGAAAAAUUAAAAGGGAAAAAAGAAGAAAAAUAAAAAAAAAUAGAUUUAAAAGUUAAUAAAUUAUUUUUUAUAUUUAUUUUAAUUCAUUUCACUUAUUUUUCUUUUACUAUAUAAAAUUUAAAUAAUUUAAAUUUUAUAAUUAAUUUAAUUACAUUUCAUUUUCUUCUAUAUUUAAAUAUUGGAAAAAUAUUUUACUUAAUAUUUUUUUCUUUAAUUUCUUUGGCAUUUUGGGAACCAAACUUAGCCUUUAAAAUAAAAAACAAAAAAAAAAUGAAAAUAAGGAGGGAAAAGUGAGAAAAGAUAAAAACAAUAUGUAAAGGAUUUGAAAAGUAUUAGUUUGUAAUUACUAUUUGGAUUUCAAUAGUAUUUUAUUUGUCUUUCUAUAUUUCAUGUAAGAGAGAAUUUAAGAUAUUCCCCAAGGCAAAGCAUUAGUUACCUGCAAUCAGUGGUGAUAAGGCUCCAAGCCAAUUUUGGGCCCCAUAUCUUAAGACAGUACAAUUUCCAUUUCAACAUUUCUGAUUUCUCAGAUGUUUCACAUACCACAGAAGAACAUUGUUUGUGAAAAUAUGCAUUUAUGUUGGAUUUUGUAUGCUGUGGGGACUGGGGCAAGGAUCAUAUGGAAGAGUGGUUGACUUUUUCUGUACUUUAACGGUUGAAAUAGGAUAAGCACGGGCAUUUGUGAGGCUUAAUUGAUUUUGAAGCCUGAAAUUGCGUUUCUGUCAUUUUGUCAAAAAAAUGGCAGAUUCCAUACUCAUAUGUUUGGCCUGUGGCCAUGUACAGAUGCCAUUUAGUGACCAGUUUGUAACUGUCAAUCGUUGCGUUUUGACUCUGCCUCAACAACAUCUGCCAUUGACGGGUUUUCAUACUUGCAAAUCAAAUAGUCUUUCGUCCCAUCAGGAAUUUCGGUUUAAAUAUUAUUAAGCAUACGUUUGGCUGACAAUCAUUAUCCAGUUCAUGAUUUGGUUUCUUACCCUUAAUCAAUGGUUUCUAAGUGAAUAUAUGUAGAAGGAAAUCCGAAGUGUAGACAGUAGUAUCGAUAACUCUCAAUAUUCUCUAUAUAAUAGAAUAAACAGCGUCAUAGUGAUCGUCGCCUACAAGCAAGGUACAAAUACCAAAACGAGUGACUCACAUAGACAUCUCCCAACAAGAUGUAGUAGUGACUGACACAUGGACACAAUUAACUCGUAGAAAAGGAUAAGACCAUUGCACAGCAGCUCUUAUUUUACAUACUACUUAUGCUAACCAAAGUCAAUUAGUUGGGAUGGGUGGGAGAUGGAGGUUUGUGCGGUGGCUUGUGGGGCGGAGUUGAUGGCUUCUUUCCAGGAGCUUCUGGCUUUUUCAUCGGAGCUGAAGGAGGCUCAAUCUUAUGAGGCGGCUUGUAUGAGUCUUCUUUACUCUCGACAGGAGGGUGGCCAGGGUUGUGAUCAUAAUGUGGUGGCUUCUCUCCCUUAGGUGGCUUGCCAACUGGGGUUGGUGGCUUGUGUUCAGGAAGUGGUUUCUCUCCCAUGGGAGGUUUAGCAAUUGGGGUUGGUGGCUUGUGUUCUGGGAGUGGCUUCUCUCCCUUGGGAGGUUUAGUAGGUGACUUGUGUUCUGGAGGUGGCUUCUCCACCGGAGGCUUGUGCUCCGGUGGUGGCUUCUUGGUUGGAGGGGGCUUGGGGUAAUCAGCAAGAGAUGGGGUGGUGAGAACCACCAGUCCAAGGAACAACACUAGCAAGUAUGUGGGAGACAUUUUUGAGUUUGGGCUGAUCAGAUGAUGCAAAACUAAAGCAUUACGUGACCUUUUAUAGCAUGUAGCUCCCAAUACCCACUAAGUAUUGUGGGGUCCAUUUGUGCCCUACGGGGUUGAAAACUUAGACAAUUGGGCAAGGACCCACCUGACUAUGGAGGACUAGUGAGGUGUGAUCAUAGCUUUAGGAUUUUUCUUCCUCUGCAGCCGUCGUGCCGUUGGCAUGAUUUUCUUAAUCUUAAAUAAAGGCAUAGUUAUAGAGUUGUUUAAUCUCUAAAUGGGAUUUUAUAUAUAUCUUCAGAUAGCCAUUAAUAUAUUUGAUGAAGAAAGAAAGACAAGUGCAUACAACAUGUAUACGACUAGCUUUCAUGGAGUUCAUUUAUGAUCAGUUUUCCUGUACAUGUAAACCAGGAUCAUAUAUAUGUUUCUGUUCCACAACUAUUUUGGAAUCUUGUUUAUCAGUUUUUAUCAUUAUAAUGUCACAUAGGCUGCCAACUUGGGCGCUAAAAGAACCAGUUGGGCUAGUUCGUUUCAGAAUUUCAAUGUGGAUUCAGGAAUUGUUUUGUAAGAUAUGCGAAAUAGUAGAGGGAUGAAUAGUGUUUCAUUAAUAAAAGUGUCCUGUAAAUUAGAAGGUGUCAUAGAAACUAUAAUCAAUAAAUAACUUUUUUUCCCCACGGGUGGUGUUUCUUGUGGGGAUCAGUGACUGGUUUAGGUUCACCCAAAAUGAGUUCAGACUAAAAUUGGUUUGAGUCAAUGCCGUGUCUCUUUUUUCCAGAAAUCAACUAUUUUAUGCAUUGAAUAAAUCAUACAAAGAAAAUAUGAACGCCCGCAAAACCUAAACCCUGGUUGCUAACUUUCUAUGUUUCAGUUCUAUUCACGCAAGAAUAUUAGUUUAAGUUUGGGAAAAAUGGCAACUUACCUAGUGAUUACUUGGUUUUGGUUUGCGACUAUUUACGCAACCAACCAUGAGUUUGACUUUAACGUCAUGGGUUGAAGCCUCCUACAGGAAGGGAGAAAGCUCCACAGCUAGCUCCAAAAGAGAAUUAUCACAUUGAUAGCUCCAGAGAUUCCCAAGGGGACUGAAUCAAAGACAAGUUCCUCACUUUUUCUUCUUUUGAGGCCAAAUAUGAACCAAGGAUCACACAACCUCAUUCAACUUCAUAAGUUUGAUUUCAUGCAGUUGAACACUGGGUGAAGGCCAUGACAAGAAUUGAUUCAAAAAUUCUAUCACUCUUUUAAGUAAUGGAAGAUUAUUAUCUCUGAUUGGCAUCACAACAGCACAUGCUCCUAGAUCUUUCUAGACACUCCAUGCAAUGAAAGCACAAUGGAUCUUGUAACGAUAGAAACUAAGCCAUGCUACAGUACUAGAUGAUGAGGUAAAACUAGUAGACACGGGUGGCAGCCUAUAUGGGAGGGACACAAGUCUAAUUGAUUUGCAUUUCAGCAUUAUAGAUAGGUAUGUUUUGGAAGAUUUGUUCUGGAAAUACCGCACCAAGUAGGAUUCUUUUUCUCUUUAGUGGGUCCACUUGCAUGCCAAUUAACGAGUUGAAAAGUAUGAGCACCUACCUCGUGCUCGUGGAACCGAAGGUCAGUGAAGUGGGGCUCCUUUUGGCCUCGUGUAAACUUGAUUCAGAAGUGAAGUUAAUAGUCUUCCAUUCAGAUGGAUACAUGGGAAUUUUUCUCUUUUAUUUAUUUAUUUAUUUUUUUUUUGUGUGUGUAUGUCAAAGGAUAAUGAAUGAAGCGCGUUAGCUUGUUUUCUGACUGGAACCGCAGAUGUCCAAAUUGGAGUUCCUUCAUUUCUUACUUAGGAUUGUUACAUGUAUAAACAAGGUAUAAGAAAUAUGCCAACGUGUCUUGAGGAGUUAUUGAUUAGAAAUAACAAGUCACCCGACUGUAGAGUUCCAAGAUUUGAAUCUUCAGACCCUAUAGCAGCCUCUGGGGUACGUGGCAUCCUAUAGCAUAUUAAUGAAGGCUUUUUCGAUUUAGACUUCACAAUACCAAUUAAUAUGUAUGCACAAAAUGGAGAUGACCCCAAAAAAAACAGAAUCGCCAUAGUUUAUGAGGUUAAGGUGAUUCUCCACUUAAUAUCUACAUUAGCUAAUUAUGUAAAUCAAAUGAACUUCUAUUUUUCCUUUUUUUUUUUGGUUUAUGUCAAAUAGUAGCCCAUAAUUAACCCAACCAUUAGCCUGUUUGAAUUGAUUUCACAUGCACAAUGUUGUAGUAGUUCAUAUUUUGAAUUUUAUUUUUACAAAGGUAGUUAAGGAAAAUGAAGUAUAAUAAUUAUAAAAGCAGACUAUAUACACUACAAUAAUUGUUAGAAUGGUAUCUCAAAUUCUAAUUUAAAAUAUUAUUUUUUGUAAAAGAAAUAUUAUAUAGAAUAUUUCCUAAUUUUAUAAAUGAUUAUAAUUAGAUCUUUAUAAAAUAAGGAAAGUUGGUAAGAAUAUCUUUAUAAAUAUUUUAGGUCAUGAGAGAAAGAAAUGGGAUAAAAAUGUGAUGAAGAGGUGAAAUAAGAGAGUUGAUUAGGAUAUAGAUGUGAAGAAGAAAGGGAUUCAAUAUAUAUAUAUCUUUCAAUUACCACAUUAAAACCCUGUGAACCUUUUAUAUGGUUUACUUUAUUUUUAUAUUCCUCCUUUAAUAUAUUUACAUUAAUGCUUCCAUUGGCACAACAAUAACGAAUUACAAAUACAAGCAACAAGUCCCAUGUUUUAUUACCAAAAGCAGGUAAAAUCCACCUAAUAUAUUACAAUAUAUUCAUCCAAUAUUUUAGACCAAUUCUUCACCAUAAAUAUCAUAAUGUGGCUUUUGUUCUUUCUUAAAUUUAAAUUGAAUUGUCUUAUAUCAAUUUGUUUGUGAUUUUUUCAUUAACUUCACUUUCAUUUGGUUAUCUUUGGUUUUUGAAAAGUAUUAAGGAAUUAAUUAACAAAAUAAUGUUAAGAAAAAUAAUUUUCUCUCUUUUGAUUUUGAUUUUGUAGUAGAAAAAUAUAAUUAAAAUUAUUUAAAAAGUAUGUAAUUUUAAAUUAUUUAAUAUUUAGAUAAAAAAAAUAAGUCUAAUGAGUUUAAAAUAACAUAUAAAAAUAAUUUAUUUAUUUUAAAUUUAUUUUUUAUUUUCCAUUAUGUUCUCUUUCUCUUUUACUUUUUCAUAUUUUUUCUUACGAAGAAUCAAACACAACCUCAUAUUAUAUGUCAAGUGUUUGUCUAUAUUUGAGCAAUGUUAGAUACGGCCAUGGAUUCAUCAAACUAAACUGAUUUUAAUAGAUACUUCACAAAUUGAUUUAUACACUAAAUCAUUGGAUAGCAAUGAUGCAUUGGAAUUAAACGUAGGAUGAAGCUCGAAGAACACUGUUUGUGUAACAACAUAUUUAUGAAAUUAUGCAAAGGAUGAGCUUCGGGGUAGUAGUACAAGGUCAUUAAUGGAGAGCCGUGUUAAACCUUGAUUGUGAUUGGAUUCCGUUAUCAGCAACAGCAACCUUGUUUGUAACCUUGAAAGUCAUUCUGUCCACAUCGAAACUCCAAUUUGACGUUUGUAAUUACCAUUCCUGGAGUGUUCCUUGAUUGAAAUUUAAAUAAUAAUUGCGGCCCACAAGGAAUAUUUUCGAUUCUGUGGGAAUUUGACAAGGUUUGUUAGAGAAGACUGGUGACAUGUUGACUUCAAUGGUUCAAAUAGGAGACGUAUGUGGAUUUGGGGGGUUUAAUUGAAACUGAGUCCCUAUGGCUUUUUAAUAUUUGCAUUGAGCAGUCUCCAUGUGACUUCCUAAUUCCCACCAACCCUCCUGUCCAUGCUGUGAAACUAAAUUGUAAUUUAUCAGCCUUUGUCAAUGGUUUCUAAAUUAAAGAUAUAGACCAUGCAUGUACUUUAAUAAAAGCAAAUCUAAAGUGUAGAUAGCAGCAAUGGUGACACCCAAUAUUCUCCAUAAAAUAGAAUUAGAAUAAGCAGUGUUACAUUGUUCAUGAUCACCUACAAGCAUACAAGAACUUCCAUGAAUAACUCAUAGCAAUUGCCAACAGGGCGUCGUAGAGACUCAUACAUAGAACACUAUCCACCCAGAGGAAAGGACAAGACCAGUGCGCUGCAGCUCUUAUUUUUCACAUGUAUACCACCACUCGUAAUAACCAAAUUCACUCAGUUGGGAUAGGUGGGAGAUGGUGGUUUGUGGGGUGGCUUGUGGGGAGGAGUUGGAGGAGGCUUUAUUUUCUGAGGCGGCUUGUAUGAGUGUGCAGGAGGAUGCCCGGGAGUGUGACCAUAAUGUGGUGGCUUCUCUCCCGUAGGUGGUUUGCCAAAUGGGCUUGGUGGCUUCUCUCCCUUAGGAGGUUUACCAAUUGGGGUUGGUGGCUUGUGUUCUGGGAGUGGUUUCUCUCCCUUGGUAGGUUUGCCAAUUGGGGUUGGCGGCUUAUGUUCUGGGAGUGGCUUCUCUCCCUUGGGAGGUUUGCUAAUUGGGGUUGGCGGCUUAUGUUCUGGGGGCGGCUUCUCUCCCUUGGGAGGUUUGCCAAUUGGAGUUGGCGGCUUAUGUUCUGGGAGUGGCUUUUCUCCCUUGGGAGGCUUGCCAAUUGGGGUUGGCGGCUUAUGUUCUGGGGGUGGCUUCUCUCCUUUAGGAGGUUUGCCAAUUGGAGUCGGCGGCUUAUGUUCUGGAAGUGGCUUUUUUCCCUUGGGAGGUUUGCCAAUUGGGGUUGGCGGCUUAUGUUCUGGGGGUGGCUUCUCUCCCUUGGGAGGUUUGCCAAUUGGAGUCGGCGGCUUAUGUUCUGGGAGUGGCUUCUCUCCCUUGGGAGGUUUUGUUGGUGGCUUGUGUUCUGGAGAUGGCUUCUCCCCUGGAGGCUUGUGCUCCGGAGGUGGCUUCUGAAAUGGCGGGGGCUUGGGGUAAUGAGCAAGAGAUGGAGUACUGGUGAGAACCACCAUUCCAAGCAACAAUACUAGCAAGCAUGUGGGAGACAUCUUUGAGUAGUUGUAGCUAAGAUGGCGCAACACUGUAGGCAUUGGGUGGCCUUUUAUAAAGGGCUGGACCCAACAGCCAUAUGACACGUGUCAUGAUGACAAAUGAAGUUGAGGGGAUCCAGAUGGGUCCUACUGAGUCGAAAACUUGCACUAAUUGAUCUGGUGAGAUGACUAUUUCUGUCCUUUUGCCCUUCUCGGCCACCCUGUGCUGUUUUCCUUUUGCACGAUUUUCGUUGCCAAACAAGCAAAUAAUAUUUCGCCAAGAAAGAGGAGAGUGAAUGUGGAAUGCAUCAAGUCCCAUCAAGGAUGGCAGAGAAGAAAUAGAAGAUUGCCCAACUGUGAUAAACAUAGCAUACACGUAGCACCAGGAACUUCAUUUACUUCCAUCUAAUGGAACAUAACAAUCUUCUAAAGUUUUUGCAUGAUUUUGUUAUAUGUCUCUUAGCCUAAAGUUGGAAAUGCGCAACAAAUUUUGUCACUUCUCUAUUUCCCACUGAUGAUGUUAAUUAGCCUUCAUAGAUAUCAUCCUUUCUACAAAGUGCUUCAUUUGUGUGUUAUUGUAAAGUGUAAGAAAAGUAAUUGAACAUGUUCUUUUUCCUUUCAUAGAUGACUUUUGAUGUGCAUUUUAAAAGCAGCGCUGUGAGUCGGUGACCUUGAUUCACACGGAAACUAAGGCUCCUAUAGGACCCACUUUUAGCUGGUUAGGGGUGAAGAAAAUAUCAACUUUUCAGAGUGAUUUAAGUCAAGGCCAAGCCUCACUGUGUCAUUACUCGUGUGAAUUUUAUAUGCACAUACAUACAUAAAUAAAGUAUGAGACCCAAAUAACACCUUCCCUUUACAAACUUAACCCCAGCCGCUCUCUUUCAAUUCUUUUCACACAAGGGUAUUGACUCUAUAAAGGUCAAGAAAAUCAUAAUUUCCUAGGGUUUACAAGGUAAUUGGCUUAAUGCUAAUGUGAAAACAUAAAAGAUAAUAGUAUAUUGUAAGCUAACGAAUAUUCUAUAGUUAUAAUUAUUUGUGAUGUGCAUAAAUAAAUCUUCAUAUAUAUAAUGGAACAAUGAAUAAAGAACCAAUGAAAAAAUACUAUAUAUCAUUGCUUGGCAUUUAAACCGUAUAUGCUGCUCUUUCUAGCUACUCCAUCCACUGAAAGACAACAAGGUAAUCCAUGUUAUAAUGAUAGAAGAUACUGUCUCUAGGCUUUUUGUGAUGAAAAAUAUAAGAUAUGGGUAGGGUUGACCCUUGUAUGUUUGUCCUAUAAACACUUCAAAGUAACAUAUUUUUCUUCUUUAGCAACUCAUAAUGAUGGGGUUCAUUUGCAUGUCACUGAGUUGAAAAGUUGGACAAUUGCCCAUGUCGCCUUCCUCCUAGAUUCCGUAGUUCACGGGAAGGUAACUCAAGUUUGACAUAUUUUGAAUUCUUUUCACUCGGACGUCUUCAUAACCUGACAAAACAAAAAUGAAAAACAGAGGAUUGGUAUAUUAUUCAUGGUAAGCCUCAAAUUAUAGUAGUAUGAGAAAGGAGAAAAAGAUUUUGGGAACUCCAAUCUGGAUAAUUCUCGUUUCUUCUCUUGAAUAAAAAUUUCACUUACCUAACUUCGUUUGGAGAAAUGGCAUAUUUUAAUUUUGUACGUCAUUGCUAAUAAAUGGAGCAAUUUAGCAUGUUUUGUGACUGAAACUGCAAAUGUCCAAUUGGCAUUUCUUCAUUUCCCACUUAGGAUCUGAUCUUGUAGACCAUAUAACGAUAUGUAUCUGUGCAAGCAUUGAAAACUAAUGUGAACUAUGAGGAGUUACAAGCCACUGGACUGUAGAGCGAGUGCCAAGAUUUAAAUCUUCAGGCUCUAUCUGGGUAAGGGGAGGAUAGCGACCUAACCUUUUACCAAAGGCUUAGAAUUUAGACUUUUGGAAAAAAAUUUCUCAUGUUUUGGCUGGAUUUCUUGUGCUUGGCGCAAAAAGGAGAUGGCCUCAAGAAAUAGCAGACUCACUUUUGUUUUCAGCCCUUAAUAAUUCUCCACUGCUUUCCAUAACUACAUGGGUUAUACAUGCAGUCUGCUGCAAUAUUCCAGUUAUAUUUAUUAUUUCAAAGAGGGUGAAUGACUUCACAUGCAAUAUGUUGCAGUAACAACCCAAAUUUUGGCACACCAUCUUAAGAAUAGAAAAGUAUAAUAAAAGAAAUCAAUCAGAGAAUCACUUUGCAUGCAGUUCAUAGAGUUCGCCCAAAAUGGAGCCACAUGUACGGACAACCCCACAAUAGACAAUCUUCUCUAUACAGUAAUAAAAUACAGAAAUGGUUAAUGAAGCUCUGUAUUUCCUUAUCAUAUAUGACCGGUUGAAAACUCAGCAAGUCUUCCUCAAUCACAGACAGUUGGAGUUGCUUCAUCAAAAUCAUGCCUUCAUUACUGGCUUCAUUUUGGUUUCAAUGUCUGUUCUACCCUUAAAUUGGGUCUCUGCUUACUACCGGGAUAUCCUUUAGCGUCCUGCAAUUCUACUAGAUUAAAGAGAAUGACUUAAUUCUGCAUUCUGCCGUCCCUAGUCCAAGUGGUACUAGAAUUGAUGUUUCCUUUAGUGUCCUUUCUUCAUACUUUCAGGUUCUUCCCUUGUUUCAAUAAUGCUGUUUUCCUUCAUGUUUAACCUCUGUUGAACCACUUAAAACAACACAAUUUGCACACCAAUGUUUCUUUACAGAAAAGACUGUUUGCAAAAAUGCACAUGUUAUAAGGUUAAUGGAAGAAUUAAUUUGGGGAUAAGGGACUAGGAUUGGGCCAAUGAAGUUUGGUGUUAAAUUUUGAUUAUGAUUGCUUUUCAUUAUCAGGUACCUUAUAUUUGCUGAUGCUAUCUGGAACUAAAUUCAAAUCAGACAUUAUCCGAUUACUAACAGGACAUAUCAUGUCCCUCUGCAGAGUUUCUAAACUAACAUGUAUCGAAAUGUGGCCCCAAAAGGAAGGCUAGGAAGAUGGAGGAUUUUGUAGGAAUCGACCAGAAUCAGAUGGAAGAGAGAUAGUCCUGUUGACUUUAAUGGUUGUGAUAGGAACAUGCAUCAUUAUAUGAGAAGUUGCAUGAAUUUAUGUAUCCUGUUAUCGUUCCUUGACGAUUUCCCAAUGCAAUUUCACUGUCCACAAGACUAACCUCUCCAUGCAGUCAAAUGAAUUGUAAUUUCUCUAUUGGUACCAGUAGUACAUUUCAUACCAAACAUAUAGUAAAUAUAAAAUAUAAAUAGAUCAAGGAAAUCUGAAUUGUAGAUAGCACUGCAAGUAACACUCAAUAUUCUCUAUAUAUAAUAAAAUAAACAGUGUCACAAUACUCAUCACCCAGUGGCAAGGGAGAAAAACCUACAAUGAGUACUCAAAUCACCAUUCUCAAACAGAAACAUAGCAGUGACUGAUACAUAGAACCUAUAUGCUCACAGGGAAAGAAUAAGAUGACCAGUGCACAGCGGGCAGCAGCUCUUAUUUUACGUACAACUCAAAUCCCAAACUAACCAAAGUCGCUCAGUUGGGAUGGGUGGGAGAUGGUGGUUUGUGGGAUGGCUUCUGGGUAGGAGCUGGUGGCUUCUGUCCCUUUGGUGGUUUGCCUAAUGAGCUUGGUGGCUUGUGCUCCGGGAGUUGUUUCUCUCCCUCGAGUAGGUUUCGAGUCUUGUCAGAUGGCUUGUGUUCUGGUGGUGGCUUCUCUCCCUGGGGUGGUUUGCCGAAUGGGCUUGGUGGCUUGUGUUCGGGGAGUGGCUUCUCUCCCUGGAGAAGGUUACGAGUUUUGUCAUAUGGCUUUUGUUCUGGUGGUGGCUUCUCUCCCUGGGGUGGUUUGCCGAAUGGGCUUGGUGGCUUGUGUUCGGGGAGUGGCUUCUCUCCCUGGAGAAGGUUACGAGUUUUGUCAGAUGGCUUGUGUUCUGGUGGUGGCUUCUCUCCCUGGGGUGGUUUGCCGAAUGGGCUUGGUGGCUUGUGUUCGGGGAGUGGCUUCUCUCCCUGGAGAAGGUUACGAGUUUUGUCAGAUGGCUUUUGUUCUGGUGGCGGCUUCUCUCCCUGGGGUGGUUUGCCAAAUGGGCUUGGUGGCUUGUGUUCGGGAACUGGCUUCUCUCCCUUGGGAGGUUCAGUUGGUGGCUGCUGUUCCGUAGGUGGUUUCUUCACCGGCGGCUUGUGCUCCGGAAGCGGCUUCUCUACCUGGAGAAGCUUACGAGUUUUGUCCGAUGGCUUGUGUUGUGGUGGUGGCUUCUCUCCCUGGGGUGGUUUGCCAAAUGGAGUUGGUGGCUUGUGUUCGGGGAGUGGCUUCUCUCCAUUGGGAGGUUUAGUUGGUGAUUGGUGUUCCGUAGGUGGUUUCUGAAGUGGGGGAUGCUUGGGGUAGUCAGCAAGAGACGAGGUAGUGAGAACCACCAGUCCCAGCAGCAACACUAGCAAGCAUGUGGAAGACAUCUUUGAGUUCAGGCUGAGAUCUGUGCAAGGAUAACAGAAUUAGGUGGCCUUUUAUAGAGGCCUGGACCCAACACCCAUAUGACACGUGUCAUGCACUCAUGGUGACACAUAAUUCUAUGGGACCAUUUGGGUCCUACAGAAGUUGCAAAGUUGGACUACUGAGGUGUGAUCACAACUUUUGUCCUUAUUGCUUUCUCUGCGGCCAUUGCACGAUUUCCUUUAGCAUCAUUUUCUUGGCUAAAUAAGCGUAUUAUAUUUGUGGCAGACCGUCCACGUGUCAUAAACAGAUAUAUUAUAAUAAUGUAGUAUGCUUUUCUCCAAUGGAACAUGACACUCUUCUAAGUCUUGUUUUAAAUAUUGUGCAGGAUUACUUUAUACGUUGCAGUUCCAAGUCAAAAUUGGUGGGCAAACGUUGGCCUUUUUUCAUUUCACCUAAGAUUAAUGCUCACCUGGGAUAGGCACUACAUGACUUAUCUGCUCUUUUACUGUAAAGUUGCUUUGUGUAUGAGAUACACCUCCCCUGCACACCCUCAACAUUCGUUGCUCUGUUUUCCUUGUGUCCAGACGAGGAUAUUAAUUGGAGGCUGACAAAACGACUGCUAGCCCAGGAUUUACAAGGUCCUGGUUUGAGGCUUCGGUGAAAGUAUUUUUGAAAAGACACACAUAGAGAUAGUGCGUUUGGUGCAAUGCAGCACUGUGAGCCAUUCUGACGCGUUCUUAAUUUCAAAACUAAUGAAUGCUUCAAAAUUUUAAGAAGUGACAUUUCCAAAUAUUUGAGUUCGUUUAAUUGAACAUUGGAUAACUAGUGAUCAUAGAUUAUUAUCUGUGCUUGGCACUAUAAGAGGGUAUAUGCUUCUUUUUCUGGCCCCUCCUUCAAGGGAGGAGGGACAAUGUGAUCUGUAACGUUAGAAGCUAUUCCAUGUCAUCUUUGGGCUCAGUUCAAAACUAAAAGAUAAUGGGGGGGGGGGGGGGGGGCAUAUCAUUUUAUAUUUCUUCUAGAAGGUUUGUUCUGGAAAUAUUUCACAGGAGCAUAUCUUUUUCUUCUAUUACGUCAUCCGCAGCCUCCAAUAGGUCGGUUAACAAGCCACCGAGUUGAAAAGUUGGAAAAAUGGGAACACAGCCCGCCUCUUGUAUUCAGUAGUUAAAUAAAAGGUCACUAGAAGUGAGAUCCCUUUUGGCGUCUUGAUUUUCAAUCCAGCACCUCUGUGACCUGACAAACCAAAAAAACUAAAAAAUAAAAAACAGUACGUGGGUUGGUGUUAAGCAUCAAGACAUGUUAAUGAAAGAAGGUAGAGAAUAGGAUAUUGAAAUCCCAAUCCUGAUAACAUGAUUUUCUUUGCUAACAACCAUAUUAUAUUUUAUCAAGAAAGAGUAAUGCAUGUGGCGUCCAUCAAGACCCAUUAGAGUUCCGCUAAAGCUAUAGUUCUGUCAACGUUAUCAUUUACGUUUCCUCUAGAUAAUGGCAUUUUCCUCUAAAGCUCUUGCACCAUUAGGCUUCAAGUCAAAAUUUCACAUGUGAACUUUGGAAAUUUUCUCCAUUUGCCCCUAAGGAUACAGUUAGAAUUGACUUAAAAUCCUGAUUGAUAUGUACUAUUAACCAAAGAAUAUUGUAUAUAAUAAUUGAAAUAUUGUUGAUUCAUCGUGGAAAUACAUUUUGUAAGGAAAGUUGUUGAGAAUUUAGUAUGCUAUAUGGAGAAAAAAGUCAUGACUUAAGGUUGUGUAUGUAUAUUCUAUAUCAAAUAUUAGGUAGGAAUGUGGGAAAGAGCAGAGUGUAAUGAUAAGAAACAAAGAAAUAUAAGAUAUUCUUGAAAGUGGAAAAUAUAAAAUGGCUAACGAGUCAAAUUUAUGAUGCGUAAGGGGGAUCAUGUCACAUAAGAAAACCAUGGCAUACUAAAGACGUACGUGUGGUAUGGAGUAAUAAUUUUGUUAAAAUAAGUUUCUUGUUGGAGUACAUUAGGUGACUAUUCAUAACGUAUCAAAUUAAAGAGUCAAGUGCAUCAAUGAAGGCAUAUGUAGAAAAUUUGUUUGUGACAUGUACCAUAAAGAUAAGAUUGACUUGAUAGAAUUUAGUCUAAGUAGGAGUUGUUAAAGGUGUCUUAAAUUUCUAAUUGAUGUAUAUUUUUUUCUAAAAAAAUAUUAUAUAGAUAUUUUAAUAAAUGAUUAAUUCUUUGUAAAAAUACUUACAUAAUAAAAAACAUCAUUAAAAAUAUCUUUAUAAAUAUUUUAAGUUACAAGAAGGAAAAAAACCACUGUGAGAUAAUGAUGAACAUGCAACACUGUACCAAGUAAAUAAAAAUGUGAUAAAAAAAAAAGAGAAACACUCGAUAAAGGAAGGCUCGUAUAUAAAGAGUAAUAUUUUUAAUCAUAUGAUAGAAUGAUUUUCUCUCAUUCAUGAAUAUAGGCAAGAUUGGGGAACCAUUAUAAAAUUUUGUACACCUCGUGUAAAUUGAUGUUUGUCUUCAUAUUUUACACCAACAAAUGACAUUGAAGUUGUCAUUGAUAAAAGGGAAAAGGCAUGCCUCCACACCAUGUGCUUGAUUCGAAUGGUUCAAGUUUGAAGAAUUUUCUCCGGAAGAUCUAAAACAUUUUCGCCUUUAAAUUUCAUUUGAUUAUUAAUAUCCGAAAAAAUAGUUAAAUACUCUUUCUAUUUUUGAGUUGUUGAAUUUUUUGAAAGUUUUUAUAUUUGUUAUCAAGAAUUUCUAUUUUAUUAAGGGUGAAUAUUUAUAAAUAAGAUAUUAUAUAAUAUUUGGAUAAGAGAGAAUGGUGGAAUAUAAUAAAGUUUUAAUCCUUCCCAAUUUUGAACCUUUUUUUUUUUUUUUGAUAUAAUCGCCUUUCUCUUGCAAUCCUAUUAUCAGGUACCUUAUAUUUGCUGAUGCUAUCUGGAACUAAAUUCCAAUCAGGCAUUGUCCAAUUACUAAUAGGACAGAUCAUAUCUCUCUGUUUCUAAACUAACAUGUAUCGUAAUGUGACCUCAUAAGGAAGGCUAGGAAGAUGGAGGAUUUUGUGGGAAGCGACCAGAAUCAGAUGGAAGAGAGAUAGCCCUGUUGACCUAAUGGCUGUAAUAGGAGAAGCGUGUGGUUUUAUGGGACUUAACUGAUACUAAACCUGUAUGAUGCUUGGAGUGGUGUUUCUUUCAUUUUGUUAAGAAAAUAUGGCAGCAUACAUGCUUUCAACUGAGUGCAUCAGAGCAUCCAUAACAGAUGGUCUGCAACCCUAGGUGCAUGCCACUUUCUGACUGAUAAUGAAAUUGUCAGGUACCUGGCCUUGACUAAGCUCAACAGCAUCACAUAAAGAGAAGCUUUCAUACUUAGAUUACUGUUUAAAGUUUUUGCUUAUUUGAUUUCUUAAUGCCAUUAUGACAUUAUUGAUUCAAUUCUGCUUCCGAUUUUCGAAGUUCUGGGCAUCUACUGAUUGCAUCAUUAUAUGAGAAGUUGCAUGAGUUUAUGUAUCCUGUUAUUGUUCCUUUGCGAUUUCACUGCUCACGGGACUAACCUCUCCAUUCAGUCGAAAUGAAUUGUAAUUUCUUUACUGGUAGCAGUAGUACUUUUCAUAGCAAAGAUAAUAGAAAAUAUGAAAUAUAAAUAGAAGGAAAUCUGGAUUGUAGAUAGCACCAUAAGUAACACUCAAUAUUCACUACAUAAUAAAUAGACAGUGUUACAUAGGUAGAGAAACCUACAAUGAGUACUCAUCACCAUUCUCAAACAGAAACAUAGCAGCGACUUAUACAUAGAACCUAUAGGCUCGCAGGGAAAGAGUAACAUGAUAAGUUCACAGCGGGUAGCAGCUCUUAUUUUACGUAUUACUCAAAAUCUCAAACUAACCAAAGUCACUCAGUUGGGAUGGGUAGGAGAUGGUGGUUUGUGGGGUGGCUUCUGGGUAGGAGCUGGUGGCUUCUUUGUUGGAGUUGAAGGAGGCAUAUUCUUCUGAGGUGGCUUGUAUGACUCUUCGGCACUCUCUGCAGGAGGGUGCCCAGGGUUGUGACCAGAAGGAGGUGGCUUCUGUCCCUUUGGUGGUUUGCCUAAUGGGCUUGGUGGCUUGUGCUCCGGGAGUUGUUUCUCUCCCUCGAGUAGGUUUCGAGUUUUGUCAGAUGGCUUGUGUUCUGGUGGUGGCUUCUCUCCCUGGGGUGGUUUGCCGAAUGGGCUUGGUGGCUUGUGUUCGGGGAGUGGCUUCUCUCCCUGGAGAAGGUUACGAGUUUUGUCAGAUGGCUUUUGUUCUGGUGGCGGCUUCUCUCCCUGGGGUGGUUUGCCAAAUGGGCUUGGUGGCUUGUGUUCGGGAACUGGCUUCUCUCCCUUGGGAGGUUCAUUUGGUGGCUGGUGUUCCGUAGGUGGUUCCUUCACCGGCGGCUUGUGCUCCGGAAGCGGCUUCUCUACCUGGAGAAGCUUACGAGUUUUGUCAGAUGGCUUGUGUUGUGGUGGUGGCUUCUCUCCCGGGGGUGGUUUGCCAAAUGGACUUGGUGGCUUGUGUUCGGGGAGUGGCUUCUCUCCAUGGGGAGGUUUAGUUGGUGGUUGGUGUUGCGUAGGUGGUUUCUGAAGUGGGGGAUGCUUGGGGUAGUCAGCAAUAGACGAGGUAGUGAGAACCACCAGUCCCAACAGCAACACUAGCAAGGAUGUUGAAGACAUCUUUGAGUUCAGGCUGAGAUCUGUGCAAGGAUAAAAGAUUUAGGUGGCCUUUUAUAGAGGGCUGGACCCAACACCCAUAUGACACGUGUCAUGCACUCAUGGUGACACAUAAUUCUAUGGGACCAUUUGGGUCCUACAGAAGUUGCAAAGUUGGACUAUUGAGGUGUGAUCACAACUUUUGUCCUACUUGCUUUCUCUGCGGCCAUUGCACGAUUUCCUUUAGCAUCAUUUUCUUGUCUAAAUAAGCGUAUUAUAUUUGUGGCAGACCGUCCACGUGUCAUAAACAGAUAUAUUAUAAUAAUGUAGUAUGCUUUUCUUCAACGGAACUUGACACUCUUCUAAGUCUUGUUUUAAAUACUGUGCAGGAUUACGUCAUAAGUUGCUUGUUCCAAGUCAAAAUUGGUGGGCAAACGUUGGCCUUUUUUCAUUUUCCCUAAUAUUAAUGCUCACCUGGGAUAGGCACUACAUGAUUUAUCUGCUCUUUUACUGUGAAGUUGCUUUGUGCAUGAGUUACACCUCCCCUGCACACCCUCAACAUUUGUUGCUCUGUUUUUCUUGUGUCCAGACGAGGAUAUUAAUUGGAGGCUGACAAAACGACUGCUAGCCAAGGAUUUACAAGGUCCUGGUUUGAGGCUUUCACGAAAGUAUUUUUGAAAAGAUACACAUAGAGAUUGCGCGUUCGGUGCAAUGCAACAAUGUGAGCCAUUCUGAAGUCUUAAAUUUCAGAUUAAUGAAUGCUACAAAAUUCUAAGAAGGGCCGUUUCCAAAUAUUUGAGUUCAUUCAUCCGAACAUCGGGUAUAUGCUUCUUUCUCUAGCCCCUCCUUGAAGGGAGGAGGGACAAUGUGAUCUGUAUCGUUAGAAGCUAUUCCAUGUCGUCAUCUUUGGGCUCAGUUCAAUACUAAAAGAUAUGGGCGGGGCCCUUAUCAUUUUAUAUUUCUUCUAGAAGGUUUAUUCUGGAAAUCUUUCACAGAAACAUAUCUUUUUCUUCUCUACGUGAUCCGUGGUUUGAAAGUUGGAAAAAUGGGUCCGUUAACAAGCCACCGAGUUGAAAAGUUGGAAAAAUGGCAACACCGCCAACCUCUUGUAUUCGAUAGUUAAAUAAAAGGUCACUGGAAGUGAGAUCCCUUUUGGCCUCUUGAUUUUCAUUCCAGCAUCUCUAUGGCCUGAUAAAUUAAAAAACUAAAAAAAAAGACAGUACGUGGGUUGGUGUUAAGCAUCAAGAGUCAAGACAUGAUAAUGGAGAGAAAGGAUAUUCAAAUUCCAGUUCUGACAACAUGAUUUUCUUUGCUGAACUACCAUAUUAUAUUUGAUCAAGAAAGAGUAGUGCAUGUGGCCAGGAUCAAGACAUACAUUAAUUUCCACAUGAUGAAGACAGUUUCUGAGAGUUUCUUCUAAAGCUCUUGCGCGAGUAGGCUUCAAGUCAAAAUCUCCCAUGUAAACACUGGUUUUUCUUUCAUUGCCACUAAGGAUGCAGUUAAUAUUGACUUAAGAUCCUACGUGAUAUAUUUUUUUAAAAGAGCUAUAUUGUAGAUAAUAUUUGAAAUAAUGUUGAUUCGUUGUGGAAAUAUAUUUGUAAGGAAAGUUGUUGACAAUUUAAUAUAGUAUAAGAAGAAAAAAGUUAUCAACUAGCUAGAGAUGAGUAUGUAAAGUGAGGCUCACGAUUCAACGCGUAAAUAUAAGAUAUUUUAAGGCUCAAUAGUUAUGAUAUCUAUUUUAUUUUUUGUAUCUCAUAUAUUCAAAGAUAUAGUAAAAUGAUUUUACAUAUAUAUAUAUAUAUAUAUAUGAACAUAACUAUUUGUGCCAAUUGAUUUUUAUCUUUAUUUUGUAUAUUAGUAAUUAUAUUAAAGUUUUUACUAAUAUAAUAACUAAUAUAAAAGCUUUUUCUAAAAGAGUCAACAGAGCAAAACACUUAUUAUAAAAAAUAAUUUUGAUUGAAGGUGGAGUCAAUUAUUCUUUAUUUAACAUGUAAUGCAUACGGCGUGUACUUCAUAACUAAAGUAUAUAAGUGUAACAUCUCUUAUAUAUUCUCAUUCAAUCUCGAAAGUGGAAAUUUUAAAAAGAUUAAACGGUUCAAAUUUGUCGUGCAUAAAGGGGAUCAUGUCACAUAAGCAAACCAUGGCAUACCAAAGACAUAGGUAUGGACUAAGAAUUUUUUUCAAAUAAGUUUCUUAUUAGGGUACAUUAAUAGGUGACUUUUUAUGACAUAUCAAAGGAGUCAAGUGCACCAAUAAAAACAUAUAUAGAAAAUUCAUGCAUGACAUGUAUCACUAAGAGAAGAUUGACUUGAUAGAGUUUAAUCCAAAUAGGAGAUUGUUAAAAGGUGUCUCAAAUUCUUGAUUGAUAUAUAUUUUUUUUAUUAAAAAGGUUAUUAUAUAGAUAUUUCAAUAGACUAUUAAUUCUUUGUAAAAAUAGUUAUAUAAUGAGGAUGGUGAUUAAAAAUAUCUCUAUCAAUAUUUUGGAUUAUAAAAAGAAAAAAAAUGAGAUAAUGAUAAACAUAUAAAACUUGUACAAGUAGAUAAAGAUGUGAUGAAAGACACUUGAUGAAUGAAGGCUUUGUAUUUCAAGAUAUAAAUAUAUGGAGCAAAACUCUUAAUUAUAUGAUCAAAUGAUUCUCUCAUAUUCAUGAAUAUAAGCAGGAUUGGGGAACCAUGAUAGAAUCUUAUAUGCCUCUCCAUGUAGAGUGAUCGAUGUUUAUCUUCAUAUUUUACACCAGUGAAUGACAUUGAAACUCUUAUUGAUAAAAGGGAAAAGGCAUGGCCUCCACCCCAAGAAAAACAAGUAACCUCGGUUUAAAUCACUAGUCUACACCCCGAAGAGAGAACUAGCCAAACCUACUAAAAGAGAAACUUAACAAUUUAGAAAGAAACCGUCCAUGAUAAAGGGCCCCUAAAGGUCCAAUUCAGUGAGGUCGUGAACAAAAACACUUUCAUGUCAAAACAGAGAUAGGUACCACCAAAAUGUAAAGGGAAAGAUGUAAACCACGUCGAACUUUGGUAAUCAAUGGUAAAGAUAGCAUGAUAGCUAAAAGCACUAAAGCUGUGCUUGGUAUGCAAAAAUGAAAAGUGGAAAUCAGCGUCUUAUUCUUUUUCACCUUUAUUCACAUAUUAGGAUAACUAAUAUCUAAUGUUUUUUAUGUCUCAAAUUCUAUUCCAUGUUAUGGUAAACUUUCAUCUUGUUUAGAUCACUUUUGUCUGGUUUGGGCUCAAGACGAUAAGCCUAUAGAGACUUCAUAUUGGGUUGAAUCGAUGCCCUUGAUCUGAUCUGUUCGUUAGAAAAAUCUGAAUUAUUAUAAGCAUUUAGAUAAAAAAUAAAUAAAUGUGAAACACAAACUACUCCCUGCACAACCUUGACCCUAGUUACUCAGUUUCACUGCUCACAGGACUAACCUCUCCAUUCAGUCGAAAUGAAUUGUAACAAGAAGAUUUUUGACAGGAGGACGGUAGUUUAAAAUAAUAAUUUCUAAAGUACUUUUGUGAAAAAAAAUAAUUCCAAACGUGGAUUUUAUCAAGUAAAAAGAAAAAAAAAAGUUAUUUUCUUUUAAAAUCUGUUCUUCUAAAGAUGAUAUAUAUACCAAAAAAAAAAAUUGUUUUCUGAAGGUAAAAUUUUUAAAAUUCAUUUUUAAAAAAAUUUACACACUAAAAUUAUCUUUUCAAGAGAAGAUUUUUUUAAUUUUAAAUAAUUAUUAAUUUAUAAUUAAUUUGUUAUUAAUUAUUUAUUAAUUUUUUUAUUUGAAAAAUGCAUUUAUAAAAAACAAAUUUGUUAUUAAUUUAUUAAAUAAUUUUUACAAAAUAAAUAAUUUUUUUUUAUUUUAAUUUUAAAAUUAAUUUUAUUAUAUAAAUUUUAAAAUUAAAAAUAUUAAUAUUUAAUUUAAAAUUUAACUAUAAAAGGAAUAAAAUAUAGAAAAAUAAAUUAAUUUAUUAUUCAAUAAAUUAAUUUUCAAUAAAAUUUUCAGCAUUAAGAGAUAAAUUUUUAAGUAUUAAUCAAUUUAAAAAGAAAUAAUGAUCAUUUGUAUAUUAAGAUAUUUUAUUUAGUAAUUAUGAAUGAUAAACAACUAAAGUAAUUUGAAAAAAUAAUAAAAUAUUUAAAAAAUAAUAAUUUAAUACACGUAAAAUUAGAAAUGAUUAACUAUUUUUUAUUAAGAAAAAAUUGAGGAAAUAUUUUGUUAUUUAAAAUUUUUUAUUUGUUUUCAAUUUUUAAUGUUAUAGGUUUCAAGAAAAUUGAUCAAAUAAAAAUUAAGAAGUCAUUUUUUCAAAAACUAUAUAUCUAAAUAAAAGCCUUGAAAUUCAAAUACACAAUAUCAUAAAUAUAAACACCAAGUCAAUCCUUAAUUAUCAAAUGUUUUUAAUAUUAAAGAAUCAAAAUCACCUACUAUCAUGAUAAUAAGAAAACCAAUAAUAUUGUUCAUAUAAAUACUAAAAAGCUAACAAAUAUCCCAAACAAUUAAUAAAGUAUCAAACAUGAUAAAAAGUCAAUUAUUAUCAUGAAUGCAAAAAAUCAAUAAUUUUGUUUAUAUGAACCAUCAACAAAGAAAAAAAAAAUCAAUAUCUAAAUAUUAAACAUAAUUUAUAUUUUUAUAAAUAUUAUUGUUGAUAAAUAUCUUAACAAUUAUAAUUUUAGUAAAUAAAAUUAAUUAAUUUUAGUUUAAGAAUUAUUUUUUUAUACUUUCGUAUUCUUAUCAAAAAUCCCCAUUUUGCAUGUCUCCUUUGGCAUGACUUUCUUACCUAAACAAGCAUAUAUAUAUAUAUAUAUAUAUAAAAUAUUUGGUUAAGAAAGAGUACUAAAGUUUAUAUGGCACACAUCAAGAUAGAAACAGAAGUGGAAGAUAAUCCAAAUGUAUGAACAGAUAUAUUAUAUCCAUGUAGUGGUAGUGACUUCAUUAUUUACUUUUAUCUAAUGGAGCAUGACACACUUCUUCUGAAUAUUUUGCACGAUUAUGUUAUGUGUCAGCUUGUUCUAAGUCAAAACUAGUGAUAAAAAUCGGUUUUUUUUGCAUUUCCUUCAUGAAGAUGGCACCUGGAUGGGGCACUACAUGAGUGGCAUAGCACGAAGUGAUUUAUCUGCUCCCUUUACUAUAAAGUGCUUUGUGUAUAAGUUACACCUCCCCUGCACUGCCUCAACAUUUGUUGUUCUGUCUUCCGUCUGUCCAAACGAGGACAAACGUAUGUUGUAGGUUGACAAAACCACAGCUAGCCUAGGAUUUGCAAGGAUCUAGUUUGAUUCGUAUGCAAAAGGAUUGGUGAAAAGAUUCACAAAGAUAAUGCUUUUUGCAAUGCAAUCUUGUUCUAAUUCAACAGUGUGGACCAUUUUCAUGUAAUGCUUCAACUAGAUGUCAGUUUCAUGAAUUUUUGUUCAUCUAAUUGAUCACUGGAUAGGCCAUAACCCGAAGAAAUUCAAAAUUCCCUUCAGUACUGUAGCUAAGGAAAGAUCCCUAUCUACCACUGGGAUUUUAAGAGGGUAAAAAUGUAGGUGGGUGCCUAUAUCAUUUGCACUUCACUAUAGGCCUCUUUGGGAAGAUUUCUUCUGAAGACAUUUCAAAGAAACAUAUUUUUCUCUUCUCUCCGUAAACGGCAGCUGCAAGUCAGUCCAUUCACAGGCCACCGAGUUGAAAAGGCUGGAAAAUUGGCCAAAGCACCCGCCUCCUGGAUUCCAUGGGUAAGGAAAAGGUCACUGGAGGUGUGAUCCCUGUUGGCCUCUUGAUUUCCAUUCCGCCAUCUAUAUGACCUGAUAACCCAAAAACACAGAAGGAAAACGUCACCUGGGUUCAUAGUAAGCAUCAAGUCAUGAUAGAGACCAGACAACAUGACCAACAAAGAGUAGCGAAUGGGGCCAACAUCAAGCCCCAUUACGGUUAGAAGAUGGAAGAAGUAGAAGACAAUCCAAUUCUGAUAGAUUCGGGCAAAUGUAGUGCUGUUCAAACUUAAUCAUUUACUAUUUCUUCAUGAAUCACGGCAUUUUUCUUCUGAAAAUUUUCCAAGAUUAGGCCUCUGAAGAAAAAUUUCAUAUGUAAAUUGGUAUAUUAAGGAAAAGGCGUUACAAAGGUGAAAAAAAACCAAUCAAAUCUUAUAUAUGACAUCUCAAAAAUAUGAACUUGCUAUAAAUAUUUAAAAUCAAAAUCUUGCACAUCACCUCGUAGUACGAACUUGCUAUAAAACUUGAAAAUCAAGAAGAAAGGGGCAGUAUUGGACGAGACUACUUAGCACAUAUUAUUAUGAUGUUUUUUCAUUUUCUUAAUGUUGUUUUUAUGUCUUAAAUUCUAUUAUUCUAUGUUACGGUAAACAUUCAUCUUGUUUGUGUGGAAUAGGAUCACUUUUCUCUGGGUUGAGUCGAUGCCCUUAGUUAAUUUGUUCAUUUGAAUAAACUAAAUUAUUAUAAGUAUUUAGAUAAGAAAAACGUGAUACAUAAAUUACGCCUCUCGGCACAACUUCAACACUGGUUACUCUGUUUCAGUUUCCUCACACAAGAUUAUUGGUUCUAGGGUUUAUUUGGUUUUGGUUUGAUUCUAAUUGCUAAACUUUCUCAAGGAAGAUGUUAUAUAGGGAGUGAGAAACCUUCACUCUUGGCUACCUCCAAGAGAAGAGCAAGUGGUCUGAAUCAAAGAUAUACUGCUCACUUUUUCUUCUUCUAAGGACAGCUAUGACCUUGCUUUAAGGUUCGAAUAGCCUAAUGCAACCUCCCAUUUCUCAAGUCAGCUGAUGAUGUAAGUCACCUUGGCUUUCCACAUUCAUACGGUGAGGACGUUUGUGGGUGUAAUUCUCUUAACAGUUUUCAUUUUAUAUGGAAAAAUUCAUAAUUAAGGGUAAUUACUGAUUCCAUUUGACAGUGACCAAGUUUAAAAUAUUAAUUCAUAUAUUAAAUGCACAUUAAAAAAUCAUGGAAUAAAUAUAUUUACUAAUAUAUAGUUCUUUUGCCAUGUUCUGUCACAGAAGCAUCGAACUUUCCCUAGAAAUUUUUGCAUGGUAUUCUACUUAUGAUUUUGAAAACUCUAGGCACCUGAGGCCACUAAUUGCAUGGUUGGAUGAGGAGCUGCAUGAGAUUAUGUAUCGUGUUGUUCCUUAACUACAAAUAUCAGUUUUAAGUAGCAUCUCCAUGUGACAUUUUCCUGAUGCAAUUUCGCUGUCCACCAACAAAUUUCACCAUGCAGCAAGAUGAAUUGUAAUUUCUUUAUUGUUAUCAACAGCUUUAAUUAAUCUUGAUAUAUAUAUAUAACUUAGUAGAAGUAUAUUAAUCUAGAUUGUAGUUGCACUAAGAUAAUAGGCAAUAUUAUAACAGUGCCACAAUGCUCAUCGCCAAAUAGAAAGGUAGAAAAACUACAAUGAGUAACUCACAACAUUCUCAAACAGGACAUAGCGGCGACUGAUACAUAGAACACUAUUGGCACUCAGGAAAUGAUAAGAUCAGUGCCCAGCAGGCAGCACGUCUUAUUUUACAUACUACUUAAAACUAACCAAAGUCAUUCAGUUGGGAUGGGUGGGAGAUGGUGGUUUGUGCGGUGGCUUUUGGGUAGUUGGUGGCUUCUUUCCUGGAACUGAUGGUUUUUUUGUUGGAGUUGAAGGAGGCUUAAUCGUCUGAGGUGGCUUGUAUGAGUCUUCAGCACUCUCUGCGGGAGGGUGCCCAGGGUUGUGACCAUAAUGGGGUGGCUUCUCUCCCUUAGUUGGUUUGCCAAGUGGGCUGGCUGGCUUGUGCUCCGGGAGCGGCUUCUCUCCCUUAGGUGGUUUGCCAAAUGGGCUUGCUGGCUUGUGCUCUGGGAGCGGCUUCUCUCCCUCAAGAAGUUUACGGGUUUUGUCAGAUGGCUUGUGUUCUGGUGGUGGCUUCUCUCCUUGGGGUGGUUUGCCAAAUGGACUUGGUGGCUUGUGUUCGGGGAGUGGCUCCUCUCCCUUGGGAGGUUUAGUUGGUGGCUGGUGUUCCAUAGGUGGUUUCUCAACCGGGGGCUUGUUCUCCGUUGGUGGUUUAUGAACUGGGGGAUGCUUGGGGUAGUCAGCAAGAGACGGGGUGGUGAGAACCACCAGUCCCAGCAGCAACACUAGCAAGUAUGUGGAAGAGUACAUCUUUGAGUUCAGGCUGAGAUUUGUGCGAGACUUGAAGAAUUAGGUGGCCUUUUAUAGCUGGCUGCACCCAACACUCACAUGACACGUAUCAUGGUGACACAUGUGCUAUGGGUCCAUUUGGGUCCUACAGAAGCUGAAAACUUUUGACUAUUGAGGUGUGGUCACAACUUUUGUCCCUAUUGCUUUCUCCGCAACCGUUUUACAUGUUUCCUUUGGCAUAAUUUUCUAAGCUAAACAAGCAUAUAUCAUAUUUGGUUAAGAAAGAGUAAAGUGUAUAUGGCACACAUCAAGGAAGAGAAACAGAAAAAGUGGGAGACAAUCAAUUGUGAUAAACAGAUAUAUUAUAUUCAUGUAGUACUAGUGACUUUAUCAUUUACUUUUAUCCAAUAGAUCAUCACUCUUUCUUCUAAAUAUUUUGGAGGAUAAUGGUACAUGUUGCUUGUUUCCAAGUCAAAAUUGGUGGCAAAAAUCGGCAUGAUACGAAAGGAUUGGUGAAAAGAUUCACAUAGAUGGUGCUUUGUGCAAUGCAGUCUUGCUCUAAUUCAACAGAGUGGACCAUGGUGAUGUAUUUUAAAUUUUAAAUUUUAAAUUAAUGCAUGCUUCAAAGUUUUAACUAGAUGUCACUUCCAUGGAUUUUUGUUCAUUUAAUUGAGCACAGGAUAGGCUAUCAAACUUGAAGUAAUAUAAAAAUCCCUUCAUUACUGUAACUAAUGAAAGAUCAUUAUCUGCGCUUGGUAUUUUGCCAAGGUAUUUGCUGCUCUUUCUAGCCCUGUCUUACAGUUAAGGACAAUGUGAUCUAGUUAACCUUAGAAGCUAUUCCAUGUCAGAUACAAGAGAUCAAGCACAUUAUCUUUGGGCUCAGUUCAAAACUAUAAUAUAUGGGUGGGGUGGAGGCCCAUAUCAUUUGCAUAUCACCACUAUUGGUUUAGUUUGGAAGGUUUCUUCUGGAAGAUUGCUGCUUUCUGGAAUCAUUUCAAAGAAAUAUAUCUUUUUGUUCUCUUGGUGACGAGCAGCGGCAAUCAAGUCUGUUGACAAACAACCGAGUUGAAAAGUUUGAAAAUUGGUCACAGCCCACGUCCAUGGUUAAGGAAAAGGUCACUGGAAGUGAUCCCUUCUGGGCCUCUUGAUUUCCAUUCUGACAUCUAUAUGACCUGAUAAAUAGAAAGAAAAAAAAACAGAAGAAAAGCGGCACCCGGGUUCAUAGUAAGCAUCAAGACAGGAUACUGAAAGAAGGGAGAAAGGAGAUUGCAAGUCCAAUCCUGAUAAAAUGAUCAACAAAGAGUAUCAAAAUGGGGCCAACAUAAAGACCCAUUGAGGUUAGCAGAUGGCAUGGCAUUUUUCUCCUUAAGUUUUCCAUGAUUAGACUUGAAGUCAAAAUUUCACAUGUAAAUUUGUAUUUCUACAUUUCCCACUGACGACACCCAACUUCAACUUGAGUUAGAAUAACAUUGUGUGAACUUAUCUGGCCCUCAAAAUUUACUGUGAAGUGCUUUCUGCGUGUGAAGAUUCAGAAAAGCACCAAGGGAACAUGUAUGGUCUGCCUUUUUCUGAUGUUAUGUUUGUCUCUAAUUCUGUUCCAUGUCAUGGUAAAUGUUCACAUUGCUUGUAUGGAACACACCAGGAUCACUUUUUCGGGUUUAUUUUGAGGCUUCAUAUUGGGUUCAUAUUGGGUUCAAUGCUUUUAAUGUGUUCAUUAGACAAAUCUGAAUUAUCAUAUGCAUUUAGAUAAGAACAAUAAUGUGAAACCCUAGUUACACCUCCCCUGCAUAACCCCAACCCUGCUUACUCUAUUUCAGUUUACUCACACAAGUUUUACCGGUUCUUAUAAGUCAAGAAAAGGCAACUGAUGUUGGAUUGACUCUCUUCCAUGUAUAAAAAGCAACUUUUAUAUAUACAUAAAAUAACUUCUUCCCCUCACCAAUGUGGGAUAUCAUGGAUUUAUUCUGGAAACACAUCAAAGGAACAUCUUUUCUCUUGGGUGACCCUAAGUGGUGAGUCAGACCAUUUGCAUGCCAUUGAGUUGCACAGUUGGAUAAAUGCACCUACCUCCUGGGCUCCAGAGUUAAAAGGGUGGAUCCCUGGAUCGCAACCCUCUUGGCAUCUUGGUUUCCAUUCCAACAUCCACAUGACUUGACAAAACAAAAAACAGAAUAAAAUCAUCACUAUUUUCAUGCUAAGCACCAAUACAUGAUGGAAAUCAUUGCUUAAAGAUUUGGGGUCAUUUAGGUUUUGACUGCCUCCUAACACCUCACCUAAUCACAAGUUUUUAUGCUUACAAAUCAAAUAUCGUUCUUCAUUAUAUUAAAAUCAUUUUAAGAUUUCAGAUCCAUCUGCUAAUUAUGAUUAUGAUAACAUUAAUUCACCUGUGCUUCUCAUUUUCGACACACAAGGCAUCUAGGUUUGCAGGAUUUCCUUAUUAGAUGAGAUAAAUGAGUACGCAUGGUUAUGUAUGCAGCAUUCAUUAACCAUGGUAUGUGACAUUUAGAAUUAAGAUAGCAAGCAAACUUUCCCUGCAGCUUGAGUAAAUUGUGAUUUCUUAGCCUCUAUGAGUGGUUCCCAAAUCAAAUUAACAUAGUGAAAUAUACGUAGUCCAGUGAAAGGAAAUGUAAAUUAUAAACUAACAGCACUACACUACUGGUAACACUCGAUACUCUCUAUAUAAUGCAAUGAAAUAUACGUUAUACGUUGCUUGUUCCAAGUCAAAAUUUGUGGCCAAACGUUGGCCUUUUUUCAUUUUCCCUAAGAUUAAUGCUCACCUGGGAUAGGCACUACAUGAUUUAUCUGCUCUUUUACUGUAAAGUUGCUUUGUGUAUGAGUUACACCUCCCCUGCACACCCUCAACAUUUGUUGCUCUGUUUUCCUUGUGUCCAGACGAGGAUAUUAAGUGGGGGCUGACAAAACGACUGCUAGCCAAGGAUUUACAAGGUCCUGGUUUGACGCUUCCGCGAAAGUAUUUUUGAAAAUAUACACAUAGAGAUUGCGCGUUCGGUGCAAUGCAACAAUGUGAGCCAUUCUGAAGUUUUUAAUUUCAGAUUAAUGAAUGCUACAAAAUUCUAAGAAGGGCCGUUUCCAAAUAUUUGAGUUCAUUUAUCCGAACAUCGGAUAAGUAAUGAUCAUAGAUUAUUAUUAUUAUCUGACGUUCUUAUAAUGGUUGGCAUUAUAAGAGGGUAUAUGCUUCUUUCUCUAGCCCCUCCUUCAAGGGAGGGACAAUGUGAUCUGUAUCGUUAGAAGCUAUUCCAUGUCGUCAUCUUUUGGCUUAAGUCAAUACUAAAAUAUAUGGGCGGGGCCCCUGUCAUUUUAUAUUUCUUCUAGAAGGUUUGUUCUGGAAAUCUUUCACCGAAACAUAUCUUUUUCUUCUCUACGUGAUCCGUGGUUGGAAAGUUAGAAAAAUGGGUCCGUUCACAAGCCACCGAGUUGAAAAGUUGGAAAAAUGGCAACACCGCCAACCUCUUGUAUUCGAUAGUUAAAUAAAAGGUCACUGGAAGUGAGAUCCCUUUUGGCCUCUUGAUUUUCAUCCCAGCAUCUCUAUGUCCUGAUAAACUAAAAAACUAAAAAAAAAACAGUACGUGGGUUGGUGUUAAGCAUCAAGAGUCAAGACAUGAUAAUGGAGAGAAAGGAUAUUCAAAUUCCAGUUCUGACAACAUGAUUUUCUUUCCUGAACAACCAUGUUAUAUUUGAUCAAGAAAGAGUAGUGCAUGUGGCCAGGAUCAAGACAUACAUUAAUUUCCACAUGAUGAAGACAGUUUCUGAGAGUUUCUUCUAAAGCUCUUGCGCUAGUAGGCUUCAAGUCAAAAUUUCCCAUGUAAACACUGGAUUUUCUUUAAUUGCCACUAAGGAUACAGUUAAAAUUGACUUAAAAUCCUACGUGAUAUAUAUCUUUAACAAAAGUAUAUUGUAUAUAAUAUUUGAAAUAAUGUUGAUUCGUUGUGGAAAUAUGUUUGUAAGGAAAGUUGUUGACAAUUUAAUAUAGUAUAAGAAGAAAAAAGUUAUCAACUAGAGAUGAGUAUGUAAAGUGAGGCUCACGAUUCAACGCGUAAAUAUAAGAUAUUUUAAGGCUCAAUAGUUAUGAUAUCUAUUUUAUUUUUUGUAUCCCAUAUAUUCAAAGAUACAGUAAAAUGAUUUUAUAUAUAUGAACAUAGCCGAUAGUAUCAUGUUAAAACCUUAUAUGACUCUUUGUGCCAAUUGAUUUUUAUCUUUAUUUUGUGUAUUAGUAAUUAGUAUUAAAGUUUUUACUAACAUAAUAAUUGAUAUAAAAGCUUUUUCCAAAAGAGUCAAACAGAGCAAAACACUUAUUAUAAAAAGAAUUUUGAUUGAAGGUGGAGUCAAUUAUUCUUUAUUCAACAUGUGAUGCAUACAGCGGGUACUUCAUAACUAAAGUAUAUAAGUGCAACAUCUCUUAUACAUUCUCAUUCAAUCUCGAAAGUGGAAAAUUUUAAAAGAUUAAAUGGUUCAAAUUUUCCGUGCAUAAAGGGGAUCAUGUCACAUAACCAAACCAUGGCAUACCAAAGCCAUGAUAUGGACUAAGAAUUUUGUUAAAAUAAGUUUCUUAUUAGGGCACAUUAUGUGACUAUUUAUGACAUAUCAAAGGAGUCAAGUGCAUCAAUAAAGACAUAGAAAAUUCAUGCAUCACAUGUACCACUAAGAGAAAAUUGACUUGAUAGAGUUUAGUCCAAAUAGGAGAUUGUUAAAAGGUGCAUCAAAUUCUUGAUUGAUAUAUAUUUUUUUUAUUAGAAAGGUUAUUAUAUAGAUAUUUCAAUAGACUAUUAAUCCUUUGUAAAAAUAGUUAUAUAAUGAGGAUGGUGAUUAAAAAUAUCUCUAUCAAUAUUUUGGAUUAUAAAAAGAAAAAAAAUAUGAGAAAAUGAUAAACAUAUAAAACUUGUACAAGUAGAUAGAGAUGUGAUGAAAGACACUUGAUGAAUGGAGGCCUUGUAUUUCAAGAUGUAAAUAUAUGGAGCAAAACUCUUAAUUAUAUGAUCAAAUGAUUCUCUCAUAUUCAUGAACAUAAGCAGGAUUGGGGAACCAUGAUAGAAUCUUAUAUGCCUCUCCAUGUAGAUUGAUCGAUGUUUAUCUUCAUAUUUUACACCAAUGAAUGACAUUGAAACUCUGAUUGAUAAAAGGGAAAAAGCAUGGCCUCCACCACAAGAAAAACAAGUAACCUCGGUCUAAAUCACUAGUCUACACCCCGAAGAGAGAACUAGCCAAACCUACUAAAAGAGAAACUUACCAAUUUAGAAAGAAAUCUUCCAUGAUAAAGGGCCCCUAAAAGUCCAAUUCAGUCAGGUUGUGAACAAAAACACCUUCAUGUCAAAACAGGAAUAGGUACCACCAAAAUGUAAAGGGAAAGAUGUAAACCAAGUCGAACUUUGGUAAACAAUGGUAAAGAUAGCAUGAUAGCUAAAAGCACUAAAGCUGUGCUUGGUAUGCAAAAAUGAAAAGUGGAAAUCAGCGUCUUAUUCUUUUUCUCCUUUAUUCACAUAUUAGGAUAACUAAUAUCUAAUGUUUUUUUUAUGUCUCAAAUUCUAUUCCAUGUUAUGGUAAACUUUCAUCUUGUUUAAGUGGAAGAGUAGGAUCACUUUUGUCUGGUUUGGGCUCAAGACGAUAAGCCUAUAGAGACUUCAUAUUGGGUUGAAUUGAUGCCCUUGAUCCGAUCAGUUCGUUAGAAAAAUCUGAAUUAUUAUAAGCAUUUAGAUAAAAUAAAUAAAUAAAUGUGAAACAGAGACUAUUCUCUGCACAACCUUGACCCUAGUUACUCAGUUUCACUGCUCACGGGACUAACCUCUCCAUUCAGUCGAAAUGAAUUGUAAUUUCUUUACUGGUAGCAGUAGUACUUUUCAUAGCAAAGAUAAUAGUAAAUAUGAAAUAUAAAUAUAUAGAAGGAAAUCUGGAUUGUAGAUAGCACCAUAAGUAACACUCAAUAUUUACUACAUAAUAAAAGAGAUAGUGUUACAAAGGUAGAGAAACCUACAAUGAGUACUCAUCACCAUUCUCAAACAGAAACAUAGCAGUGACUUAUACAUAGAACCUAUAGGCUCGCAGGGAAAGAGUAACAUGAUAAGUGCACAGCGGGUAGCAGCUCUUAUUUUACGUAUUACUCAAAAUCUCAAACUAACCAAAGUCACUCAGUUGGGAUGGGUAGGAGAUGGUGGUUUGUGGGGUGGCUUCUGGGUAGGAGCUGGUGGCUUCUUUGUUGGAGUUGAAGGAGGCGUAAUCUUCUGAGGUGGCUUGUAUGAGUCUUUGGCACUCUCUGCAGGAGGGUGCCCAGGGUUGUGACCGGAAGGAGGUGGCUUCUGUCCCUUUGGUGGUUUGCCUAAUGGGCUUGGUGGCUUGUGCUCCGGGAGUUGUUUCUCUCCCUCGAGUAGGUUUCGAGUUUUGUCAGAUGGCUUGUGUUCUGGUGGUGGCUUCUCUCCCUGGGGUGGUUUGCCGAAUGGGCUUGGUGGCUUGUGUUCGGGGAGUGGCUUCUCUCCCUUGGCAGGUUCAGUUGGUGGCUGGUGCUCCGUAGGUGGUUUCUUCACCGCCGGCUUCUCUCCCUGGAGAAGGUUACGAGUUUUGUCAGAUGGCUUCUGUUCUGGUGGCGGCUUCUCUCCCUGGGGUGGUUUGCCAAAUGGGCUUGGUGGCUUGUGUUCGGGAACUGGCUUCUCUCCCUUGGCAGGUUCAGUUAGUGGCUGGUGUUCCGUAGGUGGUUUCUUCACCGGCGGCUUGUGCUCCGGAAGCGGCUUCUCUACCUGGAGAAGCUUACGAGUUUUGUCAGAUGGCUUGUGUUGUGGUGGUGGCUUCUCUCCCUGGGGUGGUUUGCCAAAUGGACUUGGUGGCUUGUGUUCGGGGAGUGGCUUCUCUCCAUUGGGAGGUUUAGUUGGUGGUUGGUGUUCCGUAGGUGGUUUCUGAAGUGGGGGAUGCUUGGGGUAGUCAGCAAGAGACGAGGUAGUGAGAACCACCAGUCCCAGCAGCAAUACUAGCAAGGAUGUGGAAGACAUCUUUGAGUUCAGGCUGAGAUUUGUGCAAGGCUAGAAGAAUUAGGUGGCCUUUUAUAGCGGGCUGGACCCAACAACCAAAUGACACGUAUCAUGAUACACAUAUGUGUUAUAAGAUCCUUGUGGGUCCUACAGAAGUUGAAAACUUUGACAAUUGAGGUGUGAUUACAACUUUUGUCCCUAUUGCUUUCUCGUCAGCCGUUUUGCAAGAUUUUUGACAGGAGGACGGUAGUUUAAAAUAAUAAUUUCUAAAGUACUUUUGUGAAAAAAAAUAAUUCCAAACGUGGAUUUUAUCAAGUAAAAAAAACAAAAAAAAGUUAUUUUCUUUUAAAAUCUUUUCUUCAUGAUUCAUAUACCAAAAAAAGAAUUGUUUUCUGUAGGUAAAAUUUUUAAAAUUCAUUUUUAAAAAAAAAAAAUUACACACUAAAAUUAUCUCUUCAAGAAAAUAUUUUUUAAAUUUUAAAUAAUUAUUAAUUUAUAAUUAAUUUUUUAUUAAUUAUUUAUUAAAUUUAUAUGUGAAAAAUGCAUUUAUAAAAAACAAAUUUUUUAUUAAUUUAUUAAAUAAUUAUUUACAAAAUAAAUAAUUUUGCUUUAUUUUAAUUUUAAAAUUAAUUUUAUUAUAUAAAUUUUAAAAUUAAAAAUAUUAAUAUUUAAUUUAAAAUUUAACUAUAAAAGGAAUAAAAUAUAGAAAAAUAAAUUAAUUUAUUAUUCAAUAAAUUAAUUUUCAAUAAAAUUUUCAGCAUUAAGAGAUAAAUUUUUAAGUAUUAAUCAAUUUAAAAAAUAAUAAUAAUCAUUUGUAUACUAAGAUAUUUUAUUUAGUAAUUAUGAAUGAUAAACAACUAAAGUAAUUUGAAAAAAUAAUAAAAUAUUUAAAAAUAAUAAUUUAAUACACUUAAAAUUAGAAAUGAUUAACUAUUUUUUAUUAAGAAAAAAUUGAAGAAAUAUUUUGUUAUUUAAAAUUUUUUAUUUGUUUUCAAUUUUAAAUGUUAUAGGUUUCAAGAAAAUUGAUCAAAUAAAAAUUAAGAAGUCAUUUUUUCAAAAACUAUAUAUCUAAAUAAAAGCCUUGAAAUUCAAAUACACAAUAUCAUAAAUAUAAACACCAAGUCAAUCCUUAAUUAUCAAAUGUUUUUAAUAUUAAAGAAUCAAAAUCACCUACUAUCAUGAUAAUAAGAAAACCAAUAAUAUUGUUCAUAUAAAUACUAAAAAGCUAACAAAUAUCCCAAACAAUUAAUAAAGUAUCAAACAUGAUAAAAAGUCAAUUAUUAUCAUGAAUGCAAAAAAUCAAUAAUUUUGUUUAUAUGAACCAUCAACAAAGAAAAAAAAAAUCAAUAUCUAAAUAUUAAACAUAAUUUAUAUUUUUAUAAAUAUUAUUGUUGAUAAAUAUCUUAAUAAUUAUAAUUUUUUAUAUAUUAAAUUUAGUAAAUAAAAUUAAUUAAUUUUAUAAUAUAAGAUAUAUAUAAUAAUUAAGAGACUAUUUGUCCCAAACAAUUUAUUUAUUUUUUUUUUAGGAAAUUGUCUCUUCAAGAGACGACUUCUCCCAACAUUUUUAAAAAAAAAAAAAAAAACAUCUAUUCAAAAGACGAUUUCUCCUCAUUUUUUAAAAAUGAAUUUUAGAAAUCAUAUUUUCAAAAAUGAAUUUUAGAAAUCAUAUUUUCAAAAGACGAUUUUUUUUUAUAUAAAUUAUUUUUUAAAAUGACGAUUUUAAAAGGAAAUAACGAUCUCUCUCCUACUUGGCAAAAACUAUGGUAAAUUUGGAAUUAUUUCUUCCACAACCAUAGUUUAAGAAUUAUUUUUUUAUACUUUCGUAGACUUAUCAAAAAUCCCUAUUUUGCAUGUCUCAUUUGGCAUGACUUUCUUACCUAAACAAGCAUAUAUAUAUAUAUAUAUAUAUAUAUCACUUUUGUCUGGGUUGAGUCAAUGCCCUUAACUAAUUUGUUCAUUUGAAUAGUCUAAAUUAUUAUAAGCUUUUAGUUAAGAAAAAUGUGAAACAUAAAUUACACCUCUCGGCACAACUUCGACACUGGUUACUCUGUUUCAGUUUAUUCACACAAGAUUAUUGGUUCUAGGGUUUAUUUGGUUUUGGUUUGAUUCUAAUUGCUAAACUUUCUCAAGGAAGAUGUUAUAUAGGGAGUGAGAAACCUUCACUCCUGGCUACCUCCAAGAGAAGAGCAAGUGGUCUGAAUCAAAGAUAUACUGCUCACUUUUUCUUCUUCUAAGGACAGCUAUGACCUUGCUUUAAAAUGUUCGAAUAGCCUAAUGCAACCUCCCAUUUCUCAAGUCAGCUGAUGAUGUAAGUCACCUUGGCUUUCCACAUUCAUACGGUGAGGACGUUUGUGGGUGUAAUUCUCUUAACAGUUUUCAUUUUAUAUGGAAAAAUUCAUAAUUAAGGGUAAUUACUGAUUCCAUUUGACAGUGACCAAGUUUAAAAUAUUAACUCAUGUAUUAAAUGCACAUUAAAAAAUCAUGGAAUAAAUAUAUUUACUAAUAUAUAGUUCUUUUGUCAUGUUCUGUCACAGAAGCAUCGAACUUUCCCUAGAAAUUUUUGCAUGGUAUUCUGCUUAUGAUUUUGAAAACUCUAGGCACCUAAGGCCACUGAUUGCAUGGUUGGAUGAGGAGCUGCAUGAGAUUAUGUAUCCUGUUGCUCCUUAACUACAAAUAUCAGUUUUAAGUAGCAUCUCCAUGUGACAUUUUCCUGAUGCAAUUUCGCUGUCCACCAACAAAUGUCUCCAUGCAGCUAGAUGAAUUGUAAUUUCUUUGUUGUUAUCAACAGCUUUAAUUAAUCUUGAUAUAUAUAUAACUUAGUAGAAGUAAUUAAUCUAGAUUGUAGUUGCACUAAGAUAAUAGGCAAUAUUAUAACAGUGCCACAAUGCUCAUCGCCAAAUAGAAAGGUAGAAAAACUACAAUGAGUAACUCACACAACAUUCUCAAACAGGACAUAGCGGCGACUGAUACAUAGAACACUAUUGGCACUCAGGAAAUGAUAAGAUCAGUGCCCAGCAGGCAGCACGUCUUAUUUUACAUACUACUUAAAACUAACCAAAGUCAUUCAGUUGGGAUGGGUGGGAGAUGGUGGUUUGUGCGGUGGCUUCUUUCCUGGAACUGGUGGUUUUUUUGUUGGAGUUGAAGGAGGCUUAAUCGUCUGAGGUGGCUUGUAUGAGUCUUCAGCACUCUCUGCAAGAGGGUGCCCAGGGUUGUGACCAUAAUGAGGUGGCUUCUCUCCCUUAGGUGGUUUGCCAAGUGGGCUGGCUGGCUUGUGCUCCGGGAGCGGCUUCUCUCCCUUAGGUGGUUUGCCAAAUGGGCUUGCUGGCUUGUGCUCUGGGAGCGGCUUCUCUCCCCCAAGAAGUUUGCGGGUUUUGUCAGAUGGCUUGUGUUCUGGUGGUGGCUUCUCUCCUUGGGGUGGUUUGCCAAAUGGACUUGGUGGCUUGUGUUCGGGGAGUGGCUCCUCUCCCUUGGGAGGUUUAGUUGGUGGCUGGUGUUCCGUAG